UCCAGGUCGUGUUCUGGGUAUGUCACUGUCGGUUAACGCAGAAGGUGGUGCGGUUGGAGCCAAGUCAGGAGCAGGUGAUUUCAGAGUUGAAAUUGACUGGAUCAAAGCCUUGAGAAUGCCAUGAACGGGUGAAGCGUUAUGGCAAUGUAUGAUGUCUUUGUUGCUUAUUCUUUGUUUUAGCUUGUAAAAAACAGGCCUGAGUUGAUACUUUGGUGGCCUUGUUUAAGCUGGUCAACACUUUGAGCAUGUUUUAACUAUGUUCAUCAAAUAAAAAAUACAUGACACGAAUCAAAAAGAUAUGAUCAUUAUCUUAUGUUUUGUAGUUUAUCCGUUUUUGGUCAACUUGUUAAUACUUAUUUAUGGUCGUGAUUGAAUAAGAGAGAGUAUGUUAAGUUACUAUAAUUGGUUGGUAAACAAAGAAAUUAAUAAGUACUUGUAUUAGUGUAUAACGGGUUUGCAUACAGAAAAUAUUGUCAACAAUGUAAUGAAUGAAGGUUUAUGUUUCGGUUUCACGCAUGACAACACACCUAGUUGGACCCUAACGGUGUUGCACUAACUUGAUAGAGACACACGUGUAAUCACCGGCAAGGCAGAUGGUAGGACCCGUUCUGUACAGCUGUUUUACUUUAGUAGCUAAUCUGCACCGUUGGAUGGAUCUACUCAAUUGAUUUUUAUAUUUCCUUUUUUUAUCUGUACAUAGUCGCUUGAUGAUGCGGUUGUUUUAGUGGAUAUCCGGACCCACUAGACCACCCGGCUACGUUUUGUAGGGUCAACCGAAAAGAAAAAAGGCUGCAAUUGUUUGGUUUACAGAAAAUCUAAACCUUAUUAAUUUCCCAUUUCGGUUUACAGAUUGCAUGAUUAAAUCAAAAUUACAAGGAAAAUUUGGUUGCAUUUGAGAACUUUUUUAUAUAUAAGUUCUUAUUCAGUUUCUGUAUACGUACAAAUCAUCCAAGUCUCGUGUGGUUUGGUGAUGGUUUGGUUUUACUUUGUACAGACACUUUUAUUUAAAGUUGUUUUAGAUCAAUCACUCGUCAAAGUUAUAAAACUAUAUUAUUUUUCGCAUGAAGAUUAAUAAAAGAAAGAUUAAUUAUUGAAGAGAAGGACACAUGGGACAAAAGGAAAAGAGAAUGCGAGGAACAUGCUGCAUGUGCUGAAGCUUAUGUCAUACCGACAAAUCUAGAAGCAUAUUGUUGUUCACUAAAGGCUCCUACUUUGUAAUAGAUAUAUACAUUUUCUUCCUCCAAAUUACCAUAAUUAGCUGCCUUAGAAUACUUCAAUAAAGGGGUUCUAUGUUAUAUGAUUUAAUUGUUUUAAGACUUUUUGUCACAUUUGAUUGAAUGUUAAAUGUAGGGUAUUCAAUUGGAAAUAAUAGACGUACACUCUAUUUGGCAUGAAUGAUGAACGAUUUAUAGAUCCCUUUAAUAUUACAUAUGAAGAAUAAUACUUUAUUUUCUUUUGUUAAAAAGUGAAGAAUACUAAUAAUAUUACGCGUUCAUAUCACGUGAAUUAUUCCAUGAAGAUUCAGAAAAUCAAAGAAAAUCAUAUACUGUACGAUUUCUAUGAUAAAAUGUAAUAUUGAAUAACUCAUGUUAUUGAUCAAUUAAUGAACACUAUAUUAUUAGCCAGGGGCGGAGGGAGUGUAUGGGGAGUGGGGUCAGCUGACCCCACUAUUUUUUAAUUUUUUUUUGUUUUUGUUAAAGAAAAAUUAUUUUGACCCCAUUUAAUAAUAAAUUUUGACCCCAUAAAAUUAUUUUGACUCCAGUGUAAAUUGAUCCUGGCUCCGCCACUGUUAUUAGCUACACAAUGAUUCGCAUAGAUAUCAGUAACUAAAUACUCAAAACAAUAGUUAUGAUAUUCUUUCAUGAUAUAUAUAUAUAUAUAUGUAUUUAGCUUCCCCCAGUGAAUUGAAAAGAAAAAUCUCAAAGAAAUGGACAAGUUUAGCAAAAAUAUGUCACACUCAAUUGUUUGUCUACAAGUAUUUUUCACGAAAUUUAGGGAAAUUAUCCUUAAUUUCCUCAUAAGACAAAGAAAAAGAUAUGAGGUUGACAAAAUUAAACAAGAAAAAAUAUAUAUGCGAAUUUAGUUGUCUUUAUCAAGGUAUUUAUUUAUAAUAAUAUUGGGUUCACAGAAAUAAUAUAAAAUACCGUUAAAAAUAGAUCAUUGGAUGUUUGGUCCACAUAGUAGAGAGAGCCUUGACCACACUUCCUCUCCUACUAUCUGACAAGACUGCCCCCAUCUUAAAUUACUGAACCGGAUGCGUUGAGAGAAGAAUCCCACUGACCGAUAAAAAACUAUUUAUAAUACCUAGGCGUUCGAAUCUUUGGAAAGUUCUAUGUGUUUACUAUUUUUGAAUUGUAUAAUACAGAAAAAGUUUGUGAUUAAUUAGGUUAAUUUGGAAAAAAUUAUGGGGGAACACAGUCUUCCAAACCGGGUUUAGUUGAUGUUUGAUUAGAUUCGGUUAACUAAGGAGGAUACAUUGGUAAUAUAAAACGUGGGUGGUAGGAAUCUUCUUAGACCAUCCGCAACGGUGGUUUUAACACAAUCCUUAGUAGUUAAUCCUUAACUAUUAGGAUUAUAAUACUAAUAUUUAUGGGAGAAAAGCUAAGGAUAAGUCCUAAGCUAAGGAUUAAAAUGUGUUGGUCCUAAAUGACGUGGCAGGAGCAAUUGGGUCGAACUCGUAGUGUAGGGUUUCGCGACUUCAUUUCAUUUGGACGCAACACGAAAAAAAAAAAUCAGAGACGGCGAUUAAGACGAUCUUUCUCUCGACCGCUGAGAAGAGAAAUCGAAGGGUUGUCGUCACUAAAGAGGAUACUCGAAGGGUUCUCGACGGUAGCGAAGGUAAAUCGAAGGAUCCUCUUGUUGAUUUAGGGAUUUACGCUAGGUUUCAUUUUGGUUUCUUCUCAAAUUAGGGUUCGGAUUUGGGAUUUCAAUGGAUUUAUAUAAUUUUUGGAGAUCAGUUAGCGUUUGAUAACGAUUUGUUUCUGAAUCUAUUUUGAAUCUAAUUUUUCAAUCAAUUGGGGGAUUUUUGCGAUUGUAGUAACUGUUUCAAAAAGAUUAGUCUUUUAUACAGAUUUCUAAUCCUCUUAUCCUAUGUGUUCUGACUCUAUUGAGCUUAUAGAAAUGUAGUCCAAAAGUUGUUUGAUUAUAUGAAUUGUUUUAACGCCUCUGUUGCUAUGAUUUCAGGUUAAGGAAACAUGGGACGAUAUAGCUACAGCCAGCCUUCAUCAUCAGAGGAGUAUGAUAUAGAUAUAACUUCGCUUCUUCAAGCGGAAGCUGAUCUCUACGCUGACGAAGCUGACAGUAGGGACAACAUAGCUGAGGCCGUUGAGUACCUUCCUCAACCUGAGUGUGAUGACGGAAUCCCCAAGACCUGCUACUGUGGUGGUGAGGCAGUUGUUGAAACUUCUUACACAAGCAAAGAUCCAGGGAGAAGGUACUUCACUUGCGGGAAUGCGGAUGAUGGAGACUGCCAUGUGUGGAAAUGGUGGGAUGUGGCGGUCAUGGAGGAGUUGCGUGAUUAUCAGAGACAACUUAGGGAGGUAAAGGAUCAAGCUAAUGAGAGUGACGAGAAGCUGGUUAAGGUCGAGCAGACUGUGGAGCAGUUAGUUAAGAAGAAAACAGGGAUUGCAAAUGGCUAUCCAUUGCUUGUAUGUGUGUUGCUUAGUGUAGUAUUUCUACUAUGUAUGGUGAUCAUGUUCAAGUGGGUUGCAGAGAAGGAGAACGUGUUAACAGAGAGCAUGGUUAGUUUCAUUCCUUCUGCUUAUAAUUUUCUUGAAAAACAUGACUCUUUUAUCUUAUGUCUGUUCAGGAAGAGCUUCAGGAAGAGCUUCAGAGGAUGAAAAUGCGACUGUCUGACCUUUAGAAGGUAAUCUACAAACAACUUCCAGCUCUCUUUUCAUUGAGUAAUCAAAGUGUAUAGUAUUUUCCAUUGAAUCUGGAUAAUAAUGGUAAUAUAAUAAACUAAGCGGUAAACUAGCUGAUAAAUGCUUUUACCUUCCUAACUCCUCUGAUAAAUGUAUUUAGAAUUAAAGUCCGAAGCUGAUAAAUGCUUUUACCUUCCUAACUCCUCUGAGUUGAUGGGUUUAAAUGUACCCGUACUGCUUUUUACCUUCCUAACUCUGGCUGACUUGAUUGCUUUUAAAUGUAUCUUAGGUAGAUAUCGCAUACUUAAAGCUCUGUGAUGCUAGUAGAGUGACACAGAGCUUAAAAUAACCAUGGAUGCCACCCCUGGUUUUGUUAACCUUCUCAAUAACCAGGCGCCUUUUAGCCUUGAUUCACCCGAACCAGUUUGGUUUAGUACAGAGCAGUCCAUACCCAUGGAUACACCCCCUGUUUCUGAGCAGUCUUCAAGCAAGGAGAGGAGGAAAUGGUGUGUCAAAGAGGAUAUAAUCCUCAUAAGCGCUUGGCUUAACACGAGUAAAGACUCUGUGGUCGGUAAUGAGCAGAAGGCGACUCAUUUCUGGAGGAGGAUUGUAGAGUACUACAACUCAAGCCCUCAGCUGGUCGGGACAAUACCGAGAGAGCUUGGUCAGUGCAAGCAAAGGUGGGCUCGGAUUAACGAUCAGGUUUGCAAGUUUGUUGGGAGCUAUGAAGCGGCCUUGAGGGAGCAGAGAAGCGGGCAAAAUGAUGAUGACGUGAUGAAAGCUGCCCUCGAUAUCUUCUUCAAUAACUACUCCAGCAAGUUCGCACUCGAACAUGCGUGGAGGGAGCUGAGGCAUGAGAAGAAAUGGUGCUCCGCCUUUCUCUCUAAGGACAAGCGUAAACAACCGGUAGAGGUUGAUGGAGAAGACGCGGUGGCAGCAGGAGAGGCUAGACCUAUAGGUGUCAAGGCUGCUAAAGCUUCUAUCAAGCGGAAGAAAAGUGGAAGAGAUGAUGAGUUGGAGAAGAUUCAAGGCAUUAUGGAAAUGAAAGAGAAGAUAUCUAAACGCAAAGUGCUUGAGCGUUUAAUUGCCAAAACUGGUCCACUAUCUGAGAUGGAAACAUCUUUAAAAAUGAAACUACUGUCUGAAAUGCUGUGAUGUUUAGUUAAAGGAAGUCACGGACUAGUUAAGGUUUUCAUGUUGUGUUGAGUAGUUAGUACACUUUGUUAACUCUUGGUAACUCUUGCUAACUCUUGGAAUUUUUUUUUUGGUUGUUGCAGGUAGUACAAGGUCACGGGUGUGAAAGGAAGUCACGGGUCUGUUUUGCUGUUUUCCCAUUCACGGGUCUGAAGGAAGUCACGGGUGUGAAGUUUCACUUCUAUAAAUGAAGCUGUUUAGUCGUUUUAGCUAUGUAUCUCCUUUGUUUCCUUAGUUUUCUUUCUCCUAUGCAACUGUAUUCUCUCCCUAGUUAAUGUAUGGUACUUGUAAUGUCGGAUUUGAUCUCUAAACAACUUGCUUCUCUUUCAAUCAAACAGACUCUUCUCUAUUAACUUUGCAUACUUCAAAUCAAACACAAAUCAUCUCCUUAAACUGAAAAACCGACAGGUACAAGGAAGGAGAAGGCAAAGCGAACACAAACCGACAUCUUGUAAAACUGAAAAACCGACAGGUUCAAGGUCGCAGGUUCAUGUUUAUUAUAUAUAAUCUUGCCAACUCUUGAAUAAGAAAGUAGCUUAAAUUCAAACUAAACUUUCACACCAACCGGAAUUUUGAUUAAGAAAGUAGCUUAAAUUUAAAAUAUCAUGCACAGUUUAUUAUAUAUAAUCUUGCUAACUCGUGGAAAUUUUUUUUUUAAAUAGUUAGAAUUAUAAUUAAAAAAAUAAGCUUAGUUUCCAUUAUAUUUAUAAUUUUAAAAUCGUUAUCCAUUUUUUUAAAUCCAACCGGAAAUUUUUUCUGCAGGAGCUACUACAAAUAAAAUGUCAUCAUCGUCGUCCGAUGAAGUUGAAGAAAGAUUGGACGAAAUUAUCGACGAUAUCAUAGACGAAACCUACAUCAACAUUGUGGAAGGCCAACCCUCUAAGCCGAGGACACGCGCUUAUAUAGAACGAGACCGCGAAAUAGGACACAACCAAUUAUGGAAUGAUUACUUCAGCGAAGAUGCGACAUUCCCGCCAUAUUUAUUCAGACGCCGUUUCCGUAUGAACAAAGAAUUAUUCUUGCGUAUUGUCCAUCGCCUCUCAGAACACGUUCCAUUCUUUCAACAAAGAAGAGAUGCAACGGGGAGGUUUGGUCUUUCUCCACUACAAAAAUGUACGGCUGCUAUUCGUCUCCUAGCUUAUGGUUCUGCAGCUGACGCGGUUGAUGAAUAUCUCAGAGUUGGUGAAAGCACGGCAAUUUCGUGUUUAAAGCAUUUUAAUGAAGGAAUAAUUCGGUUAUUUGGUCCUGAGUAUCUACGAAGACCGACAGAAGAGGAUCUUCAGCGACUACUCCAUAUUGGAGAGAUACGCGGGUUUCCUGGGAUGGUAGGAAGCAUCGACUGUAUGCAUUGGAGGUGGAAAAAUUGCCCAACGGCUUGGAAAGGACAGUAUACCCGGGGAUCAACAAAACCGUCAAUUGUGUUAGAGGCGGUAGCUUCACAAGAUCUUUGGAUAUGGCACGCUUUCUUCGGUCUUCCAGGUACCUUAAACGAUAUUAAUGUCCUCGAUCGGUCUCCUGUUUUUGAUGACAUUAUUCAAGGUCGGGCUCCGAGGGUAGAGUACAUGGUCAACGGACACAUGUAUAAUUUGGCGUACUACCUCACAGACGGUAUUUAUCCAAACUGGUCAACAUUUAUCCAAUCUAUCUCACUCCCUCAAGGUCCUAAAGCAGAGUUAUUUGCUAAAGUUCAAGAAUCAACCCGAAAAGAUGUGGAGCGGGCUUUUGGAGUUUUACAAGCUCGAUUUGCGAUUGUGAAAAACCCGGCACUUUCAUGGGACCAGGAACAGAUAGGGAAGACUAUGAGAGCAUGUAUCAUAUUGCACAAUAUGAUAGUCGAAAAUGAACGAGAUGGAUACAACACUCAGUACGAUACAUCUGAAUUUGAAGAAGGAGAUGUAGCCAGCAGUUCACGAGUGCAUAAGUCUCGUGGUACAGACAUCCCUCCAAGCAUCAAUGAAAUGCGUGCCAUUCGGUUUCAGGUUCGCGAGACGGAAACACAUCACCAAUUGAAGAAUGAUUUAAUUGAAAAUAUUUGGAACAAAUUUGGGGAUGAAAAUUAAUAGUUAUUGUAAUUUUAUAUGUUUAAUCAUGUAAUAAAUAAAUUUUUAUAUCUUUUUUAAACUUCUUAAAAAUUUAUAAUUUUUUUAUUCUUAAGGACUCCAAUGGUAGUAACACCAUUGGAUAUACAAAUUUCAUUAGAAUCCUUAACUCUUAAAAAAAAAAAAAAUAAUAAUAAAAUAUACUUAAGGACUCCAAUGGUAGUAACACCAUUGGAGAUGCUCUUAUUGACUCAUGCGUCUUUCGUAUUCUCUUCAUUUAAGUUACAGACUGUUACGCGAAGGAAGAAAUAAAAAAAAGGUGAAAGUUGUCCGAAAGGAAGCACUCUCUCUCUCUAGAGCUUCACAUUCUCUAUCUACUAGAGAUAUAAAAAAGGGAAAGUUCUUCCUCAAUUUGGGCAAGGAGAAAGAUUGCAAAACACCAUUGUCCUCACGACAGGUAUUCUGAUUUUCAGACACACUGUUACCGGCUUCUUAUGUUUUUUUUUGUUUCUUAUAAUAAAAAAAAAAUCUCAAUUCUCAUAUAUGAGAAAGAACUAAAAGUAAACAAAAGUUGGGAGAGUGAUUGGAACUAAAGUGUUCGAAUUUCGAUUUCAAUGCUGGAUCGGUUUUGUUGUAAGUUCGAAUCUGUUUUCUUACAUAAAUGAUUUGGAUUCUGUAAUGUUUUCAAAAGAUGAAAAUUUUCAGAUUUUGGAUUUUUUUAUUUAUUUAUGGUGUUAAUUAGUGUUGGGGUCAGAUCUGGGAAUCAUCGGUCGGUUUGUAUAGUGUUAUGAAGUUGCCUUUCAUCUUAUUAUUGUUUAGUUGAAUUGAAGUCUUUUUUUUUUUUUUUUUUUUGACAGCAAACAUAGUUGAAUUGAAGUCUGUUUUGGCUUUUUUGUGUUAUUAGUUUCAAUGUUAAAAGUUUGGUAAAAUCUUUAUUGCUCUACAAUUAAUUACUUACUAAUACUCUCAUGAGAUUAGCAAUUUUCAUUGAUUAACAAUCUCAUUCCUAUUCUUCUUCUUUUUUGUUCCUCAGGUUUCUCUGGGAUUAUAUAAUCUGUUGAAGGAUACACAUUUUGGUCUAUAAGUUCUCACUUGUGCUUGCAGUGAAAAAAUGAAGGCUGAUAGUAUUCUUGACUAUGCAAUAUUCGAGCUUUCGCAUAAACACUCGCGGUGAGUAAAUCUUAAUUCUCUCAGUGAAAUGUUCUGUCUUGAUUGAUUAUGCUUCUAUGUUUGUUGAAAAUCUUAUUUGAAUUGCGGUGUGUUUUAACAGAUGCGAACUGUUUGUGUCGAGUAAUGGAGAAACAGAGAAACUGGCUUCAGGUCUGAUCGAACCUUUUGUGAAUCAUCUGUGUGUUCUCGCAACACAAUCUUUAUUUAGAGCGGAAGUAGAAAAAAACCAAAAUGGCAAAUCUUGGUUCACAAGAAGGACACUCGAGAGGUUUUUUACAGAACAUUUUGCUUCUCCAUUUUCAUUUUUAACACGCAAAGUAGCUUAAUAAUAUUUUCCUUGGAACUUCAUUGUUUUUUUUUUCAGGUUUGUUCAAUUUGUUAAUAGUCCAGAAGUUCUGGUAAGAGUCGAUACAAUUGAUUUGGAGAUGUCACAGUUGGAAGCAGCUCGGACUUUAUAUUCUCAGGGUCUGUUAAAAAUCUCUCAUUUGUCUAAUCAACUUUUAAACGUUUAGGACCAAACUUGAUCUUAGUUUUCUUUUCACAUGUGCUCAGAUGAUGGAGGUGUAACGGAUGCAACAAAGUAAGUCAAGCUCUCUGGUUUCAUACUGAGUCAAAGUGCAUGUUGAAAUGGAAGAGUGUUUUGCUGAUUACUUUGCUUUUGUUUUGUUAUACAGGAAGGAGCUCUCAAGAGCUAUUGAUUUAAGACUUGAGGCCAUUAAGAAGGACUUAACCACAGCGAUUGUUCAAGCCUCGGCUAAUGGUUUUGAUCCUCAAACUGUCUCUGAUCUCCAACGUUUUGCUGAUACAUUCGGUGCUCAUCCUUUGAAGUAAACACUUCUUUUUUCUUUCUUGAUUUUUUCAUUCUUGCAAUUGUGUUUUAAAAAUUUGAUCUGAACAUUAUUUUCUUUACCAGCGAGGCAUGUGGAAAAUACAUAUCAUUAUGUCAAAGAAGACCAGACCUGAUCAAGAAGAACUUGACUACCAACGAAACAAACACCAGUCAAGUCCAAAGUAUCAAGAAUGAUGAAGAGGAGAAAAAAGAUGACUCCUCUACGGUUAAGACCACUCAACAUACGAGGAGGCUCAGCGUGCAAGACAGGAUUAAUCUCUUUGAGAGCAAAAAGACGGAAGAUUCAAACUCUGCAGGACACAAACCGGUGGUUGUUGUUGCUGCUAAAUCAACCACAGAGUUGAGGAGACUUUCCUCUGAUGUCUCAUCAGCUGCUGCUCCUCCCGUAUUCCCUCAGAAAUCCGUCUUGAGAAGAUGGAGUGUUGUUAGUGACAUGAGCUUUGAUUUUGCAUCGGAUAAUAACAAGAAGUCUGAGGGUAGUGGCAACGAAGAAGGUCCCUUGAGUAGACCAUCCUCUGGUAAUCCUGAAGCCACAGUGCCAAAAGAGUCUGAAGAGGAGAGUAAAAAGGGUGGUGAUCAUGAUGAGGAUGAUGUGUCUUCUACUAAAUGUGAUGAUUCUCAGAACCAGUCUGAUGGUGAUGAGAGAUAUGCUUCCAAGCCACAACCAUCAGUCAUGUUUCCUCGACAUUCGCGGUCUCGAUCAGCUCAUAUAGGAGAUGGUAUUGAUAUCAAAAGUGAUGAACUUCAAUCACAAAGCCGGAAGAAAGAUGUGAUAUUUUCAGACAAGCAUCCUGCCUUAACAAUCUUGACAAAACCAGCUUCUGCAGGUUAGUUUAGCUAAAUCUUUAUAAACACCAGAAGUCAUUAACUCAACUUAAGAGUAAUCCAUGUCAUUGUGUUAGAGGUCCCCAGUUCGAGUGACCCCAGGGACGAAAUUACCUGAACUCCUAGUAUUAAAAAAAAAACUCUUGAUAAUAAUUUAAAAGUCAAAAUACUAAAACUGAUUGAUUUUACUUAUACUUCUGCAGGGUCUGAACAGAGACAAAAAUCAUUUGGUGUAGAGCAUGAUCUUGUGAAUAAAGAUUCAGCUGCUGGAAAAAUCAACAGUAACAGAGUUCGUGCAACAUCUGUGGAUCAGAUGCAAAGGCCAAGAAUCUCUAGGGAAAGCUCUCAAGGUGUUAACGACGAGUUAAAAACAAAGGCAAACGACCUUGAGAAGAUUUUCGCCGAGCAUCAACAACGAGGUCCUCGUGGAGAUCAUCAUCAUCAAUCAGCUGGUGAUGUAAAAGACAACAACAACAACAAGAACGUUGUGAUGCGUAGGAACGUAUCUGAUUUAAGCUAUUCAGAUGAUUCCAAAGGAAAGCUAUACGAGACGUAUAUGAAGAAAAGGGACGCAAAGCUCAGAGAAGAAUGGAGUUCGAAAGAAGCUAAGUUGAAGUCAAUGCAAGAAGCUCUAGAGAGAAGCAGAACCGAGAUGAAGGCUAAGUUCUCCGAGAAGAGACAGGAUUCAAUAUCGAGUACACGUCAGCGUGCUGAGAAGCUUAGAUCUUUUAAUACUCGGUCGAGUUUGAAGAAGUUUCAGGUAAAUCAAAAAUCAUUUUAAGUUCCUAUGAUGGUAACUUACUAUUUGGUUAAAAUCUUCUCAUUUCUUGUAUACAGCAGCAUCCUAUAAGCUCAUUACAGAGCGAAGAAGAAAACGUGAAAGAUAAACCACUCAGUGGAAGGAGCUCUCAAGUUAGAAAGGCUCCAUCACCAAACCGGAGCUCUCGAGUCUCGAAACCAUCAGGUAAAGUUUCAAACACUAACGUUACUUCUUCCGGGAGAGGGAGAAGAACAACAGCUGAGGUUAAUCCGGUUGCACAAUCUUCUUCCAUUCCCAAUUUCUCUGAUCUUAAGAAAGAAAACACAAAACCAUCUGCUGUUAGAAACCCUCCUAUGAUGCGAACACAGGUGAGGGGUGGUAAUAAGAAGACUACAAAGGAGGAUGUACCGUCUCCUGUUAAGCCUCGGAGACCGAGGUCGUUGAGGAAGAGCUUCUCUGCCAACAUAGAGUUCACUGAGCUGACAAGUACUCUCUACUCUGAUGAGAGGAAUGAGAAGCAGAACACUGACGUCGAUGAGGUACCAGAGAGCUUGAGGAACGAAGAGGAAACUGACUCUGAGGCUGAAGAAGAAGUGAAGCAAGUUGUGGAGAAUCAUGUCAAAGAAGAAGAAGAGGAAACUCUAGUGGCUGAGGAUGUUGUUGAUGAAAAGACCACACUUAGUGACAAGAACUCCUCAGAGGAUGAAUCUCAGGUUGUAGACUUACCGGUGAACACUACUCUACUACCUUCACCGUUUCAGCAUCACAUUGCCUCGUUAAUGGAUUCACCUAGCGAGAGUCCCCUCUCGUGGAACUCAAACUUGCAGCACGCUUUCUCUUACCCUCACGAGCAUUCGGAUGCCGAUGCUUCGAUGGAUUACUCUCCCAUGGGGAGUCCUGCUUCUUGGAGUUCGAGAAUGAGAAAGAAAUGGGGAACAACGACAGGUCAGAGUCCUGUCAUUGUUUCAAACUCCUCACCGCUCCACUCUCGGAAGGAUUUAGCGAAAGGGAUCAAACGUUUGCUCAAGUUUGGAAAGAAAACUCGUGCUGCGGAUAGCUUGAUGGAUUGGGUUUCUGUGACAACAUCUGAAGGUGACGAUGACUUUGCUUAUAGAUCAUCUGAUGAGUUGAGGAAAACAAGAAUGGCAUCUUCUCAGAGUCAGCAUUCUGAGGAUGAACAAGGUAUAUAGUCUGUUUACGUUUUCUUUUGUUGUCUUAAAUGGUUAUUGGUUAUAGCUUUGUGUGUUUUGUGUGGGUUUAGGGAGCUUUAAAGCGAAAGAUGGAGAGUUUAAGAAAUCAUUCUUCUCACUCUCUACAUUCCGUAGCAAAGGAAACGACUCGAAGCCAAGAUAACAGAAGAAAGAACAAAAUCAAUCUGUGUGUUUUACCUUUACAACAACACUAGUACAAAGUUUGUAGUGUUGAAACAAAGUUACAGUGCUUGAUUUUAUUUGAGUACAUUAUUGUUGAUUUCUUUAAUAUUUAAUUGAGAUAAACAUAUUUUUGAAACACUGAAAAGUAUGUAGAAAUCUGCACAACAGAGCUUUUGAAUGCUAAAACAAAUAACUUUUGAUUAUAUAACAACAAUACAGUUCUUUUUUUGUUUUUUACAUCACAACAAAGUAAGUAAUAAGAAGGCAUGUUAAAGAAGUCUACAAUCAUCCUUAUGUCCUAAUCUUCAAAGUCUUCAAGACAAAAGCUGUAGUUAAACAACCGUUUCAUCUUUAAAAGAGACAACGGUUAAAAAAAAGGGUACUCAGGUCAAAUUAUGUAAUCUCCAAAUAUCAAGCACAUUAUAUACUAUGGAAACAAGUUACCUUGGGAUUCACUCAGAAUCAGUUGCAUCUUCUCCAAGCUAGAACUACCUCGAAAGAGGUCAAUGCGCCACUUGGACCGUAGAGUACCACUACUGAUUUGAUAUUCCUUCAUAUCGAGUCCAACGAAAGUUACAGAAAAGAAGUUUAUUUUCUUCACCACCAUCUGGAUUCCAACAUCACAUGACAGAAUACUUAUGUGUUUGAUAAUGAACUUAUCUUAUAAAAGGGCUAUGGAAGUGAUUACUUACUUCGACUCCAUCGUUUAUACAUUUUUCGCCAACAGAAUACGGAUGGCGAAAUAAAAACAACAUGGUUGAUUCGAGAAUCAAAUUCCACUGCUGAGAAUGUUUUAUAGCACGUAACGCCAGGAAAACGAAGAAAAUGUAAAACAAUGAUCCGAAUACGCCUAGCGUUAGGUAUACGGGAACAAAUGCUACUACGUCUGCAAUCGCAGCAGUUAUGAAGACUGUGAUCCUCAUACUGUUCAUUAUAGAGUCUGUGUCUUCCAUUGACAAGACAAGAGACAUCUCUAGCCUGUAAGCAUACACCCAGAGGCGGACCCACAUGUAUUAAUGGUGGGUCAGCUGACACACCUUAAAUGAUAAAAUCCUAAUUUGUUAAAGAGAAACGGUAUAUAUUCAGUAGAUCUGUUGGCAAAAUCUCUCAGGGUGACACCCCUAAAUCCGGGUUCAACACUCACCUCACACUCUCUUUACCAUUUUUUUAUUAGUGAUUUAAAGCCCAUUAAAUUUUUUCACCCAUGUUAAAAAAACAUUCUGGGUUCGCCACUAUUACACCUAUAGAGCAUAUAUAGAUAACCAUAACUUAAAAUAGUUGGUAAGGAAAGUUCAUCAAUAUCAAAACGUUUUUUUUUUUUUGAGUUUUUAGUUACCAUAAAAUGUUGCAUAGAUGAGCAGCUGAUUCCUGUCCUCUCAUUUACUAUGAAUGGUAGCCGAGAUGGGAAGAUGAUUCGGGUUGUCCCAUCCUCUCCUGUCGGUCCAAAGAUGCGCAAAAACGACAAGGCAUCAUUUUCCGGAAGGAAGCGAGUUAAGUCCCCCAGUUCAAUGAACCUGAAACAACCGAAGAAUUGUUGUUAAUGAAUGAAUGAAAGUCUUUCCUAGUUGGAUAAAUAGUUAUCUAAUGUAUAAAGGAUUAUAACCAAUUCGCUUAUAACCAAUUGGUUUUAUGUUGAAAGUCCAUGAUAAAACCGAAUUUAACAUGAUAUCUGACCGAGUUAACUUAGAAAAAAGAUCUAUAUUGGAAAUAUAAGAAGAAAAGAAUAACACCGUGAAAGGGAUCAUUUACUUUGAUCCUGGCUUGGCUACGUUUUGGAAGAGUUCCGUUGCUGCAACCCUUGCCUUGGAUUCAUUUUGGAUCUUCAAAGUUGAGCCGUUUUUUACCCUUUUCUUCAUUCUCCAAGCUGAGGUUUUCUUAGGAUUUACCAAGUGCUGGAUUUCCAUCCAAGGACGACGGCCUGAGAGUGUUUCAGUGAUGUACCAGUAGAAGAGAAGCUCCUGGAUCUUCUCUUGGUACCUCCUUGGGUGAGAUUCUGCUGUGAGAAUCAUGAAAGCGAAUGGAUAGAUGAACCACACCAUGGCGCCGAGAACAACAUCGAUUGUUGAGGACGAUAUCACCAUUGCUCAUAGACUGUAUUCUUUACAAGUGUCGGAAAAGGGAAAAUCCUAGGGUUUCUCUCUUCACAGAGCUAGCUUGAGGCUUGAGGGAGUGAUGAGUGAGGGUCGUUGGCUUCUAGUUAAUGAAUCUUUCCUUUUUUAGAAAGGGAUUUUAAUGACAAAACCAUCAUGUAUCAAUGGAUCCAUUUUUAUGAAAAACUCCCUCAACUAUUUAAUAAUAAACAAAACUCAGAUAUAAAAAUCUAUAACAAAUUAACCUUCCAUCGAGCCUUGUCAUUCCUAGUCAUCGAAUAUAUACUUCCUAAACAAGCUGAUUGGUUUACUUUGACAAUUUCUACUAUAAUUGAGAUAUAAAACAGGAUUACAACUCCCUAUGAAUAUUCAAGUUAGAUUAUGAUUACAUAAGUAGAUUACAGACUUUAGUAGAAAACAAAAAAAAAACAUAUUCAAAUUAGUCAAGAGGAUGGAAACUUUAAUCUAAAAACUUAGUUCAUAACAAAUAUUGAGCCAACUUUACUAUAGCCUAAGCUGGAGAUCUUUCGAACACUGGCCUUCUUCUUCAGUCUCUAUAGACAUAUAUUUAUCACCUUCUGGUUUUGGCUGGGACAUGGUUUGAGCAACAUCCUCCUCCGGUGCUUUUGACGACUGCCCUGAUUUAAGUGAUCGACCGUGGGCAGUCUCUGGCUUGGGAGGAUAAUGAUGCUGACCCACAUUUUGGUUAACUUGGUAUGGAGCUCUAGCCACUGCUCUGUAAUGGUAAUAAAAUUGAAAAUCACGUGGCUGGUGAGUAUAUAUACUAGGAUCAAGUAGGAUAACAUAUGUUAAAAGAAUCAGUAAAUUUUUUGAAGUAACAUUAGAAAGUAUGGUCAAGUUAAUUAUUGGUUUUACCGGUCUUUCCGUUUAGCAAAGAAUCGAUGAAGCGAAGCUCUACGUGCUAUACGUUCCACGACCUGAUUUUGUUGAUUGAUGACAUCCACAGAAUUUGUGGGCUCGUUAAGAUCAGGAAGAACCAUGUUGCUUUUGUUAUCGUUGUUUUCGACAUUAAUUUGUGUCUUAAUGUUAAUAUCAGUCACAGGCUUGGCUUGCUUAGCCACUUCCAGUAUCUCUUUAGCUUUGUCUGUAGGGAACUCGUUGUAUACUAAAACGUGACCUCCAAAGAAAAUAGUCAGCUGCGAACUUUCUCGCUCUGAUGGGUUACUAUAAACCAAAACCAGAUUUUAGAACAAUAUUUUUCUCCCAAAGAUCUUAAAGAAUAGUAGUAUAGACCUGAGGUUGGAAUCUUCGUUGGCUUUGCCUGGAGACGGUUCGCCUUUUAAAACCCUCUGAAAGACAUCGAGGGUUUUGGUUUCCGAAUCUGCCUUAUGUUGUUUCCCUGAACAAAGAGUAAACACUUUGGUCAGCUUUGUUAGAAUAAAUCCUAUAAAAAAAUAAAACUAAAACUCUUUUCCCCGGGACAUACAACAUCUUGUUUGAGAGAUUCUAACUGUUUUCUCAUCUUCAUAAUGUUACAAGUGAAAGUUAUUUCAGAUUUAAAGAACUGACUUGCAAAUAAAGGAACAAAAACAUAACUAAACAUUCAGUCUACUAUUACAAGUUGUGGCCGUAACAGAGGAAAGAGAUAAAAGUACCUGGUGGAUCGGAGUUUCCGGACAGCACGCGAUCCGAAUUGGGCUUUCGAAUCAACCCAAGAUUAAUAUUUCCGAAACUACCCUUCUCCUUCAAGUAACGGCUGAGCAGACUACAUCUCCGGGUAAAGUUGGACUUCUCCAGUGGUUGUGCCUUAGCGUUUUCAUUUCUCGACAUCUUGUAAAUGGUAAGGAGCAAUUCUCUAGAGUCAAGCCCUUUGUCAAAAAAAAAAAAAAAAUUCUCUAGAGUCCUUAUCUGUUAAUAUGUAUUGUUGUAUAAUACCUUCAUCUUGUUUUUUUUUAUUGUUUCCUGCGUGAAAUGGAAGAUAACAAGAGGGGAUGUGUAGAGCUCGCUCAUGUUUUUAUAACCUCAUUUUCUCUGGCUUUAAUAGCCUCCAAUAUUGUUCCAAAAAAAUAAAUAGCCUCCAAUAAAUUAAAGAAAAAAAAAGAGGACAAACUUUUCAUUUUGGGUUUUAUCAUUUAUGAUUUAAUGCUAUUUAUGAUACACAUUUGGAACUUUUUAGACUUUAAUACUUUGAGGUAUAUCUAUUUUUAAAAACUAAUUGGCAUAAUGCGUUUGCUAAUAUCAAAUAAUACUCUUUCUGUAUCACUUUAAGUGAUGCUUUAAGAUAAUUUUUUUUGUUUCAUUUUAAAUGAUGCUUUCAAGUUUCUAUGUAAAAAGUAAAUAUAAUUUUAUGUUUUUGACUAUUUGUAUUCUGCAGUAUAGUUUUCUAUUAGUUGAAUUAUAUGUAUUUAUUCUUGUUUUUAGACAAAUGAAAAAAGUUAAAUAAAAGUUUGUAAUUUUUUAAUAGGUGUGCAAAAACCUUAAAAUCCACUUAUUUUGAUACAGAGAGAGUACUCCACUGAUGUGAAAGAAAUUAGGUUUCAUACUACGUCAUUAAUUAACAAUAAUAAAGUUAAUAAUUCAUCGUUAUAUAUUUAUUAUUUUCUGAGUUGUUGUAAUAAAUCUAUCGCCUAUCUUAUUAUUAAAACUAAGGGUUUGGCCCGCCCUACGGGCGGGUGAAUUUGCACUAAAAUUAUUUUAUGUUUGAGUGUAUUGUAUUUUAAUUUUACAAAAUAUUUGAAAUUUUACUUUAUAUUGAAAAUAAUAAGUAUUAUAUGUUUUUAUUCUAAAAUUAUAUUUUAAACUUCGCUAAAUUUUGUUGGUUUGAAGUGAAAAACCACUAAAAUUGUUUUGUUAAAGAAUACAAAAUUAUUAAAUCAGAAAACUAAAGAAAAUGUAAUGAUUUAUAUUUCUAUUUGAUUUCUGUUUCAAUUUGAUAUAUUUGAAAAAAAUUAAAGUAAGAAUAAUUAAUAUUUUUCAUAUUUUUAAGAGUAUCAGAUUUUAAUAUUAUUAUAAUAACUAAUUUCUCACGAUAAUAAAUUACUACACCCACCUCCAAACUAAAUCAAUUGAAAAUCAAAUGUAAUGUGAUAAAAUUAUUAAAUUUUAUAAUUUAAAGUAAUAUACAAAUAUUUUCAAUAUUGUCUUAGUAUGUAUUAUGUAACAACAAAUGAUGUUUUAUAAUAUAUAUUUGUUUUAUUUUAUAUUAGAUUUUUAAUUUAUAAUAAAAUUUUCUUUAAUUUUUAGUGUUUUACUAAUUAUUUUUGUAAAUUAUUUUAAGCAUUUGUUGAACUUUUUUAUAAAAACAAUUUGUUGAAAAUUUUGCUCAUACUAUUUGAAAAUAUUUUAUAGAUUAAUAGUGUUAUAAAUUAACAAAUUAUUAUAGUUCUAACAUAAUUUUACUUGAGUUUUAUACCCUAUCUUAUUAAAUAAUUUACUUUGAGUGAACCAAACAUAAAAAAAAAAUUAAAUGUAGUAUAACCAUUAAUAAUCUGAAAAUUAAGAUGAACCAGACUGCGUAUAAAUGUUUUCUGGAAAAAAAAAAUUCUUAAAGAAAUAACUAAAUCCUUUAGUCUUUUUAAUGUUGGCUGUAUUGAAUGAAAGUAAAUAAUUCCUAUCUAAUCAAAUAUCUCAUUCUUAGUUUCAACAUAGUUGCAACGAUAACAUCGUAAAACAUAUAUAUAAUUACCUAACUAAAUGGAACAACACAAUAUGUUGGGUUUAUAUUUCAGCCCAAAACAAUCAAAGAAUAUGUCACCAAGCAAACAAUUAUGCACACUAAAACUGCAGUGUUUCUUGUUUUGAAGCUUAGAAUAAUUUUUUUAAAGAUUUAAAGAGAGCUAUGAAAAUCAGAAGCAUACCCUAAUUUCAUAACAAUCCCCAAAAACAGAGGAGAAAUCCUAAUUGGAUUUCACAAUGAUGACCUCAAAUGUUAUUUUCUCUCUUUUUCUGAUCAAAAAUAAAAACUCAUACGAUGAUGACAACGAAUGUUUGUUUCUCUACACUAAAAAUGACCACUAUUUCAAAACUUAUUUGUCUUUAUAUUCUCUGCUACAAAUAGAGAAAGCUGAUCUGAAAAUAACAAUCGUUGCAUAAAAGUAUCCCUUAUUUUUUCACCUGAUUCUUCAACUGCUUAUUUUUUUCUCUUUCACAUACACAGGUCUACGAUUUCGCUUUUACACAUAUCGAUCAGUGGCUGCUCAGAAGUUGAAUACUGGUUAAAAAACAUCCUAAAAUAGUUAACUUUUGUUGGAGUCCAACACCACAUGUUUCUUCUCUUUACCGCCAUUUUAACUUAUGUCAUCGCCACCAUCUCUGUCAACAUUCUCCUUGCAAUCCUCCAAACCCAACGUUGCGGCCUAUCCCUCGGCCCAGUCCUAUAAUUUAUAACCUAAGUGCACAUCCUCUGUUCCAGCUAAGAGACAUGUCUUUCGAGAGACAUAGAUAUAAGAGCCACCUGAAAAGUCCAAGUUGGCAUUUCCUUUCUUGUAUGAGAUCUAAGUCAUUAUUGGCUACAAAUGUUGGAAAAUAAUUCACUAUCUUUUAACUUAUAUACGCCACCAAAAUAGUGUCAGAUGCUUAAAAAUAAGUGCUAAUGUGGCAAUUACCCGUUAUUGCAAAUUCCUCCAGCGCAUCAUGUAUCCGAUUCUGAAUAUCCUCUAAAGGCCCAGAUUCUAAGCUUUAGGGAUGAAAGUAAGAGGUUAUCAAUUUAAAAGAAACAUAUGUAAUGACGACAUAAGCAUCUAACUUUAGGAAAUAAUAAUGUGAUUCCAACUAUAGUGACUCCAAGUAACUUUUAAAGAAAAGUAUCUUACCACACCAAAGAAUCGUUGAGGAACCCCUAGCCUCUGAGAUGAGGGUAACAUUUAUUUCUCUAAGCUUUAGGGAUGAAAAGUAAGAGGUUAUCAAUACAAUACUAAAAGGGCAAUAAGCUCAACAACUAGAGUAUCCACGUAGGCAAAUUUAAUCAGCCUAUCAUAGUAUUGAAUUAGGCCAUGUCACCCAAAUCAACCUAAACGACAUAUUAGGCAAAUUAAAUCGGCUGAACGAAGAAGAAUUACGAUCGAACGGCUGAGAUUUCUUCGUUCCAAUCUCUCAGUGCUCAGCUAUGGCGAUCCGUUACGCGAGCAAGGAACCUCGAUCCGAGCAAGACGACGACGUUUAGGAUGGCGGUUAACUGCCGGCACCGGCUUGAGUCGAGGAUGGAUCCUUAAUACUUCGGGAACGCGAUACAGAGCAUACCAACGAUGGCGACUGCGGGAGAUCUGCUAGCAAACGAUCUCCGAUGGUCUGCCGAUCAACUUCACAGGAACGUGGUGGCGCACGACGACGCGACGUUCCGUCGGGGAAUAGCCGAUUGGGAGAGCAAUCCGAGGCUGUUCCCUCUGGGAAAUGCAGACGGUGAGAUGGGGAGCUCGCCGAGAUUCCCAAUGUACGACAACGAUUUCGGAUGGGGAAAGCCGUUAGCGGUGAGGAGCGGAGGAGCGAACAAAUUCGACGGGAAAAUAUCGGCGUUUCCAGGAAAAGAAAAACUCGCGGUCGAGGAGAGGAACAUCUUUGCCGGGAGAGAGAACGUCGGAGACGAUGACGUGUUUGGCGGAAGCGGCGACAAAAUCAGCUCCGGCGUCGUUGCAGGUGAUGUAAAUGUGACCGGCGGGGCUGGUGUAGAAACGGCCGGCUAAAGGAGGGAAGAGGGAGAGAGCUGAGGAAAGAGAACGGCGGAGAGAAGAGACAAGGUCGUCGAAGGAGAAGGAAGGAGGAGGGGUGGCGAGGAGCACACCUUUUUGAAUGUUGUGACAUGAGAGCAUAGGAAGAUCAGAGACUGAGAGACGGAGAUCGGCCACGGUGGACUUCUUCUCCGGGUACACAAUGCACUUGGAGAUUAUUUCUCUUCACCACUAUCUCUUGCUUGACAAGAAAGGAAGUGAAAAGGGCACCGCAAAAACUUCGAAGCCGUUGGUUAAAGGCUUUGUGCAUGAUAACGAUGAUGAAGUCAUGAAAAUCACAAAGGUCUUGAAGAACAAAAGGGGAGGUGACCCUCUAUUCAGCGAAAUUCAUAUGUCGCGGUUGGAUCAAGCGGGGAUGACCUACACACCAUGGCUGAGCCAUUGCCAAGGGUUAAAAAAAAGAGUGGCCAGGUCAGUUAUCGUGAUCAAGCCAAGCUUCAUGAGCUUCAAGUCAUGUUUGUAGGGGAACCAAAACGUAGAACCCAGUACUCUACAAUUCUUGGUGCUUACUUUAGUGGUUUCAGGGAAGCCAAUAAGCUUCUCAAGCAUUAAAGUGUAGUUUUUGAGUGUUCGUUUUUAAGAUAUGUUUUCAGGUCAAUGUGUUUAGAGAAGCUUGGUUAGUUUUGUAAGGGUUAAAAAAAUUGUUUACUUUCAGUUUGUUUUUUUUUAAUUCUUUAUUACAAGUUUCAAGCACGAAAGAACAAUGAAUGGAUAUUUUAACUAAACAACAGUCAAUGGUUAAAGUUAAAAAGAAAGCAAGAUAUAAAGAUGUCUAAUUGAAUUUGCAUCUUUGUUUAUGGUUCACUAUAAGAGAGAGAAUGAAUGUUAUAUGUCACAAUUUUCUAUGGAGUAGGAAAGAAGCAUAAGAGAGAAGUAGAGAACAGUUGUGAAUGGUGUAUUAAGUAUGGUAAAAGCAAUAGAAUGUGUUUAAGAUCUAUAAGAUGAGAAGUAGUUCAUAUGAGCAGCUCAGGUUGGGGAAUGUCCUGAGGAGGAGGAAUGCACGGUUUUGGCUACAUGAGAAACACAAAGUUAAGAACUAAGACAACAUUUGUUCUUGAUUGAAACAACGUGAUGGGUGACUAAUGAACUGUAUUGUCGCGGGAAUUGCUUCUAGCUUCAGGACUUGAAAUGUCUACAUUUAGGGACAAGAGAUGAUUGAGGAGUGAGUUUUAGAGAGAAGUUUAUUAGAGUCCCAUAAUUUCACAUUUGAGCUUCUUUUCUUUUUGUUUAAUAUAUGUCCCAAUUUGGAGUUUAUUUUUAUUCUUCUUUUCUUUGCUGUAAAAUGACAAAUACAGACUAAAACCAAGACAAGAAAAAGCGAAAUUUGGGUCACAGCACUUUUAUUUUCAAUUUGGAUAGAGAAAAUAGAAAGAAGUCAUUUGAGAGAACAUGGUGAAGUUGAAUAACUAAAGUUAGGUGUUUGUUCCAUUUAAAUCAUGAGUAUUUGUACUCCCUACACACAACUUCCCCCUUAUUUGUACUCCAUACCCUAUUUCCCUUCAAUUUCCUCCCCCCCCCAUCACUACCACUUUUCCCCAAUUCAAUGGUAUCCCACUCUUUUCAAUAUAUUGAGCUAAUUUGCUCUUAAAUCAUUUCUAAAAUGAAUUUUAUUUUAAGGUUUGCCACUUCGCCUAAGUUGUUAUUCUCCUUUACCAAAACAUAAAAUCUAAAUUUUAAAGUUGUAUUUACAUUACAGUUUUCAAUUACUGAUAAGAAAUUGAAUAAUGAUUUGAUUGGUAACCAUGGAAUGGUAGAAUAGCAUUCAAAACGGUAUUUUGUCAGUUAACAAAAAUUAGUAGCAAUGAAAAACAAUGUAAAAAUGCAAGUUUAUUUUCCCCUGGCAAAAUAUAAAUUAUUAAAGUGAGUUUUUGAAGAUUACUAAAUUUAUAAAUAUAAAACACAAAUAAAAAUGUAAUACAAACAGGGUUGAUGUUAUAUUAGAAUAAAUAUAACAAUAAUUCAUAAAUUAUAUAAAAAUAUCAAAUGAUUAAAUAUAUCAUUUUAAGAUCGUUUUAUAUAUGAAUAAUUUGAUAGUUUUAUAAAAAUAUAUUAAAAUCACAAAGAUUAUAAUAAUAGAUUUAAAAUAAUAAUAUUCGUGAGGUGUAUAUUACCCUAAUGUAUGAACUAAUUUAAAAUACACUCAAGCUUGGCAGCAAAUCUGCCAAAAAAAAUUUAUCCUACGCAACUUCACGAUAUUAUUGAUAAUAAUUAAAACCCUGGUAAUAUAGAAAGAUUUUGGGCAAAAUAGCCGAGAAGCUUAGAAAUUUUUUUUAAACACGGUCCGAAAUAAAUUGAGAUCAUACACUAUUAAAAAGAGAAUAUGAAGGCAUGUUAAGGUGUCCACGUUAGUAAAGAAAUCGCAACCAAUCAUUUGUCCAUGUCAACAUGGAUGUUAAGUUGUUGGGCCACGAAUUUGUGCUGCGUAAUAGACACUUUAGCUUUAAUGACCGAUUUGUUUUGCCAUCUUCUUACUCCAACCUAAUUUUGUUAUGACGUCUACAGAAGACCUUCCAGAACUCACUGUUUUCCUAUCUCAUCUGUAUAACGCCUGCAACGGCUAUAAUGACGAAUUAAAGCUACUUAACUACUCCUCUAGACAAAUCGGCGUCUAACUCUCCACAUUCCUCCUCUUACUCAAUCAUAACGAUGCCUCCUCAAGCCAAAAAUCUAUUGUUCAGAUCCUCAAAUCCAUUCCUAGCUUUAUGGCAAAUCAAACGGCAGUCACCACCACCCAAGUUCAUUCUCCAUUUUUCUUCAGUAAGGUUUCAUCAGGACCUUGAGUUUCCCAGUUGCUUUUUCAGCUAAUCUAUUUCUGGAAAGCUCACAACAAUUCCAAAUGAGGCAUUCUUCUCGGCCUUGAGAUGCUGAUGAUUGAUGAAGAGGUACGUGUUCAUAUUUCAAUAUUAUGCUUCUGAUUUCAUACAUGUCUCUGAUUUUUUCUAAGAGAGAGAGAAUAUGUUAACAAGAUUAUAUCCUCAAACUCAACACCUAAGAAUUUUUAACGUUAAGAGAUAAUUUUUAAGAUUAGUUAAAUAAAUGACUAUCUGUGAAUAUGUUAAUGGUUCUCAAUAUCCUUUCAUGUAGUAACUAAAUAUAGAAUUGUUCAAAUUGAAAUCUACUACAUAUUUCACAUUUUUAUAACAAANNNNNNNNNNNNNNNNNNNNNNNNNNNNNNNNNNNNNNNNNNNNNNNNNNNNNNNNNNNNNNNNNNNNNNNNNNNNNNNNNNNNNNNNNNNNNNNNNNNNNNNNNNNNNNNNNNNNNNNNNNNNNNNNNNNNNNNNNNNNNNNNNNNNNNNNNNNNNNNNNNNNNNNNNNNNNNNNNNNNNNNNNNNNNNNNNNNNNNNNNNNNNNNNNNNNNNNNNNNNNNNNNNNNNNNNNNNNNNNNNNNNNNNNNNNNNNNNNNNNNNNNNNNNNNNNNNNNNNNNNNNNNNNNNNNNNNNNNNNNNNNNNNNNNNNNNNNNNNNNNNNNNNNNNNNNNNNNNNNNNNNNNNNNNNNNNNNNNNNNNNNNNNNNNNNNNNNNNNNNNNNNNNNNNNNNNNNNNNNNNNNNNNNNNNNNNNNNNNNNNNNNNNNNNNNNNNNNNNNNNNNNNNNNNNNNNNNNNNNNNNNNNNNNNNNNNNNNNNNNNNNNNNNNNNNNNNNNNNNNNNNNNNNNNNNNNNNNNNNNNNNNNNNNNNNNNNNNNNNNNNNNNNNNNNNNNNNNNNNNNNNNNNNNNNNNNNNNNNNNNNNNNNNNNNNNNNNNNNNNNNNNNNNNNNNNNNNNNNNNNNNNNNNNNNNNNNNNNNNNNNNNNNNNNNNNNNNNNNNNNNNNNNNNNNNNNNNNNNNNNNNNNNNNNNNNNNNNNNNNNNNNNNNNNNNNNNNNNNNNNNNNNNNNNNNNNNNNNNNNNNNNNNNNNNNNNNNNNNNNNNNNNNNNNNNNNNNNNNNNNNNNNNNNNNNNNNNNNNNNNNNNNNNNNNNNNNNNNNNNNGAAUAGUGAGAACAUCAAUUAUUUGGAAACAAAUUUUUUUUCUUUAAACAUCACUUAAAGUGAUACGGAGGGAGUAUUACUUAACACAUCCCCUUAUAUAUUAAUUUAGAAGUCACUUAAUUGAUUUCUGCUGAUGUGUCGCUCAUAGGAGAUCUUUCUAGUUAAUUGUUAUAAUUUGAUUGGUUGAUGGUUUUUAAAUUUUUAUUUAUUUAAUUAAAAUUUUUAAAAGUAAACUAACCCUAGAAUUACCUAAUCUAAUAUAUGUUUCUAAACAUACAAUUAAGCAUCUUAAAUAUAGAUAAAUUAAUAUAAUUUAUUUAUAGAAACAAUUAAAUAUCAUAGAUUACAUUAUAUAAAUUGAUAAUAUACAUUUAAAUACAUAUGAUACUACAGAAACAAUUAUAAAAAUAGUUUUUAAUAUAUUUAUAUUAGCAGUGGAUACAAUAAUCAUAGAUUCCAGAAAACGAAUUAAUGUAAACCUAAUAAUAUUAAAUUAAACUCACUCAUUCACUCUAUAUAUAUUCUUAAAUGUAUCAAAUGAACGCAAAACAAUCAAAUAUAUAAUUAUAAAACAUUCUCAUCAUUAUCCAAUGACAAUGUGAUAUCAUAUAUAAGUUAUCACUUUUAGAAAUGUACACACAAGAUCCAUCAUUUUCUAGCUUAUGAAUAUACAUAUUACUGAAAUAUAUACACAAGAUCCGUACAGGUAAUUAGUUAUAUCUGAAACUGAACCAAAUCUAGUUUUUGGGGUAGGUUCGGUUCUUUUGGUUCUGACUUUUUUGAGAAGUCCUGCUUACCACCAUGGUAGAAACAUAAGUAUCUGAAAUAUCUAGAAUGAAAAUGGAACUGAAAUAUACUUACUACAAAAAUUAUUGAAAUAGCUACCUAAUCUAGAACAAAAGUAAACUGCCCAAUCAAACUCCACGUCACCCAUAUAUGCAUAUUGAGACAUCCAUAAUCAAAAUGAAACUGAAGUUUACUCGUGUAGAUAUUGAAUAAUAAAUACCUCUGGUCAGUGUUCAAAACAAUUGCGGCAACUGGCAUUUACUGGCGACUAGGUGGAUAAUUCAGGUCUCGGUGGGUUUUAAUGGUUGAUGAAUUAUUAAUUUAUUUUUAUUUAUUUUAAAUUUAUAUUAUAUAUUCGAGUUUUAGGUUUAAUUAUCAAAUUAUUUUAUGAAUUAUAAAACCUAGAUAUACAAAAUAAAAUAUUUACACCAGUUUGCAUUAACAUUAUUGGUUAAUUUAAAAGAUUUCACCAAUUUAUAUGGAUCUAGACUAAUAUAUGCUAUUUUAUCUAAUUUAGAACUGUUACACAAAUUGGAUUUUAAGAAAAAUAUUUUGAUUAUAACAUUUGUCGUCUAGGCGUCCACGCAUACCCAUGUUUAUUUUAGAACAAUAUUGCUUAUGGCUAAAUACUAAUCUUUCUGUUUUAAAUUAUAUGAUGUUUUAGAAGGUUUAUAUUAUUUCAAAAUAUAAGAUGUUUUUAAGUUUUAAGAUUAAAUUUAACUUUAUUAGAUAUUGUUUAACCAAUUAGAUUUUAAUGUAUUUUUUAUAACUGAUUGAAUAAUUUUAAAACUAAAUCCUUAAAAAUUCUUUUAGAGAAAAAUAUGUUUAUUAAUUUCCGUGCACUAAGUCACAACAUUAUAUACUACUCCUUCUGUUUUUUAAUGUUACAUAUUCUAGAUUUUUCACACAUUUUAAUAAAACACAUUAAAUUUGUAUAUUUUUUUGUGUUUAUCUUUGUUUCAUAAUUUUAAACCAAUAAUAAUUCAGUAAGUGCAAUUAAGUUUUUUGAAAUUUGCAAUUAGUUAAUAAAAAAGGAAAAGCAUCAAUAGAGCUUUCUGCUGCUACUCAAAAUCAAGAACUACACAGAAAUGGUAAAAAAAAGCCUAUUGAUUUCUCAUUGUUCUUUUUCUGUUUCCUCACAUAUACAAAAGCAUUUUUGAUUUUGGAAAGGCAAAAAAAGUAGUGAAAUUAACCACAUAAAUCAUGCCUUAAAACCCUAAAAAUAAAGCUAGAAACUUUACAAACUCAAAGACAAGUUUCUCCAAGAAAACAAAAGAAAUGUAGAUUAAGCUACUAUACAAAAAUCAUAUCCAAGCUCAGUUGUGUAAGAAAUGUUAAGAGUAAAUAGGGGAAGAAACAAAAAUACCAUCCACGUUUUUGAAAGCCAGUGAAAACCCAAGGCUUAGGAGGAAGCUGAGGAUCGAAGAACCCAGCUCUAGCUUCCAAGAGACUUCCGGGUUUCUGCUUCAGAUGGGUGUUUCUCCUCAACGUGUUGUUGAUUUUCUCCGACCGUAAUCCAACAGAAGAUGAAGAAGAAGCGAGGCCAGAAGAAGGAAGGAGGUGGCUGAGUACGUGGCGGCUCUGGCUCAAGUGAGAAAAAGCGAGCUUCUUCUUCUUCAUCAGAGAUUUAGUUAGCUGCGAAGAAGAAGAAGAGCCAACGACGAACCUGCGAGAGAAAAGCGCAUGCGCAUGCAUUUUCUUUUUGUCUUUUUCUUCCAACAAAUUCAUUUCAAAUUUUACCAAAUGGCUCAUAUAGAUAUAGAAGAAGAAGAAGACAAAAAGGACGUAACUUCUGUAGAUUAUUAUAUUAUCAUGAGCUAUGUGUGAGGUGAUCUCCAACCCAACUCCUAAACACUAUUUUAGUGUGAAUUUUACACCAAAACCAUCUCCAACCCAACAUUAAAAAUCACACUAUUUUAGUGUAACACUAUAAUUUCAUACUAAAUUUGGUGUGACACUAUUCAUUACACUAUAAUACUAUUCACUCCACUAAAACACUAUUCACUUACUUUAUUAAUAAAUUAUAUUAUUAAAAACAAAAAAAUAAAUAAAUUAAAUAAAUAUAAUAUUAUAAAAUAUUUUUUAGGGUAAAGUUUAGUGUUGUGGUUGGAGAUGAAUUUGUUUUUAGUGUUGAAACUACACUAAAAUAGUAUGGUUUUGACACUAAAAUAGUAUUAUGGGUUAGCAACGUCAGCUUUUUUAUAUACAGUAGCAGUGCAAAUAUUAUUUUUCAGAAAAAUAAUAUCACACUAGCUGUUUUAAAUUUAUUCAAAUAAAAAAAAAUUGUAAAUCCUCAAGAGUUUAGGGAAAUUGUAAAUUAACUUGCAAAUAUUCAUUAAACAAUAACAUGCAUCUAUCAGAUUAAAAUAUAAAUUGUAUAUACAUUCAAGUCAAAGAAGCUACAAAACCAGAAAGUUCACAAGUAUUUGCCAGUCACUAUCCGUGCCCAUGGUGAUAGGAACCCGAGAUGUUGUUACUCUACAAUGUCAGUAACUUUGUGGUGAAUGUAUAUACAAUUUAGAAAAUACUCCCGAUUGAUAUUUACCAUGAUAUUUACACAUAUUACCUUUUUGUUUUACUUUUAAUUAAUUUAAAGUUUUAUAUGAUUUCAAUAAAAUUCAACCACUAAAUACUAAACUCUAAACAACUAACCCUAAACUCAAAUAUUAUAAUCUUUUUGAUUAAAUGUAUUUUUAAAAGUGAAUCCAGCUUAUUGUAUUUGAAGCAAUUUCUCUUUCUAAUUUAUGCUCUUAUCAUCCUUUGUCUAGGUCAGUUUAGUGCAAAGAAAAUUUUGAGCAAAUUACCAAACUUUCAUUAGGAUAUACUCAUGCGCAGAAGGGGUACAAGUGCUACAUACCUGGUCUCAAGACAAUGGAGAUACCACUACAAGGGACAAACAUGCAUGGUUGGUUAAGGUCUCAAGACAAUGGAGAUGCCACUACAAGGGACAAGCAUGCAUGGUGGGUUAAGGUCUCAAAACAAUGGAUUAUUAAUUUAUCAUAUCUCAUCUACCAUACUUGUAACCACUAUAUAUAUGAGAUGUUCUCAUAAGCAAAUCAAUCAACUGAAUAAGAUUAUCCUUCUUUACUCUCUCUCUCUCUCUCUCUCUUUCUUGUUCUUCACUAUGUUCUUUAGUGUAUAAGGAAGCAAACCGCUUAGCUGAUGGUUUGGCUAACCUUGCAUUUUCUCUUCCGUUUGGUUUUCAUAGUUUUGUUGUGGCACCGAUUGAGGUCGCUGUUUUAGUUCAUGAGGAUGUUGCUGGACCGUUGCGGCCACGACAAACUCGUCUUNNNNNNNNNNNNNNNNNNNNNNNNNNNNNNNNNNNNNNNNNNNNNNNNNNNNNNNNNNNNNNNNNNNNNNNNNNNNNNNNNNNNNNNNNNNNNNNNNNNNUGGCCCAAUCCCCCGGGAAAGCUACCGGUGCUUACAGCCACAGCCAGGUUUUGUGGCCUUUGUCAAUCUUAAACAGUGAAUGAUGGAUGAUACACUCUCUUAAUCUUCUGCUUUGUCUCUCAGGGUAUCAAGGGACUACGUGAUGCAAUUGCUGCUGGAAUCGAAGCACGUGAUGGCUUACCUGCUGAUCCCAAUGAUAUUUUCAUGACAGAUGGUGCAAGCCCUGGGGUAAACUAUCAUCAAACUUUCCCAACACUCAUGGAAAUUAACAGAACAAGUUGUUUUAGUGGUGACCAGUAAUGUUCCUCUCGUCGUUAUAGGUUCAUAUGAUGAUGCAACUUCUCAUAAGUUCUGAGAAAGAUGGAAUCCUUUGCCCUAUUCCUCAGUACCCCUUGUACUCAGCUUCAAUUGCCCUUCACGGUGGAAGUCUGGUACGUUCCUUGUACCUUUUAUAAUGACUGAAGUUCCCUUUUUCCUUAUGUUGUCAUCAUCUUCUUGUAGGUUCCUUACUACCUUGACGAAGCAUCAGGAUGGGGACUUGAAAUAUCUGAGCUGAAGAAGCAGCUGGAGGAUGCUAAGUCAAAGGGUAUCACUGUAAGAGCCUUGGCGGUUAUUAACCCUGGUAACCCAACAGGACAGGUUAGUUUGAUCUUCAACAUUAAAAAAACUACAAAUCUAUUCCGGUAAAGAGCUUUACAGUCUUGUCUAUUUUUUUUUUUUGGUUAAAGGUUCUUUCAGAAGAAAACCAGCGUGACAUUGUUGACUUCUGUAAGAAAGAGGGUUUGGUUCUAUUAGCCGAUGAGGUUUAUCAGGAAAACGUUUACGUCCCUGACAAAAAGUUCCACUCUUUCAAGAAAGUGGCCCGGUCUAUGGGCUACGGUGAGAAGGAUAUCUCCAUAGUCUCGUUCCAGUCUAUCUCCAAAGGUUUGACAAAAAAAAAACUAAUGUCUUAAGCUUAUGAAAAUGGUAUCUAAAACUGGAUUCGUUCUUUCAAAUAGGAUACUACGGAGAGUGUGGGAAGAGAGGCGGUUACAUGGAGGUUACUGGUUUCACUUCUGAUGUGAGAGAGCAGAUAUACAAAGUGGCUUCUGUGAAUCUUUGCUCCAACAUCUCUGGUCAAAUUCUUGCCAGCCUCGUCAUGAGCCCACCCAAGGUAUCAAAACAUGUAUAUAACUUCAUCAGCUGGUUUUAGCUUAAGCUCGGUUUCUAGAAUCUUUAACAGCUUUAAUGAAAUUUGAUCCAGCCUGGUGAUGAGUCCUACGAGUCAUACAUAGCAGAGAAAGAGGGAAUCCUCUCGUCUAUGGCAAGACGUGCAAAGGUUAGCCAUUCACAGAGAACUUUAUUAGUAGCAAUCAUGUUUUUUUUUUCUCUCUGGUGUUAAUACUUUUGAGCUCUCACUGUGCAGACUCUUGAAGAAGCUUUGAACAAGUUGGAGGGUAUAACAUGCAAUAGAGCAGAGGGAGCUAUGUAUCUAUUCCCUUGCAUUAACCUUCCACAGAAGGCGAUUGCAGCUGCAGAAGCUGCAAAGACGGCACCGGACACGUUCUACUGCAAACGCCUCCUAAACGCAACUGGAAUAGUCGUAGUCCCUGGGUCUGGAUUUAGACAGGUACCGGGAACAUGGCAUUUCAGGUGCACUAUACUUCCUCAAGAGGAUAAGAUUCCUGCAAUCGUGAACCGUCUCACUGAGUUCCACAAGAGCUUCAUGGAUGAGUUCCGCGACUAAGGGGAUUAAAUGCUUCUAAGAUAAGAUUAAAUCUUUGAGUAAUAAUAAGGAAGAAGGACCCAUGCCGCUUCUUUUCCGUCGACGUUUGUGUUUAAGAUGUGAGAGCAUCUUCUUAUUCAGCUUUUGUGUUGCUCUUUUGUAUUGGCUGAUACUGAUAAACAAGCAUAAGUUUUUUAUUGAGAAGAGUUUUUCUUAUAGACAAUUAAACUAAUUACUCAUUCAUGCUUUUUCCAUAAAUCGAGGUUACGUUUUCAUAUCUCUGUCUUCUUGGUGGCUGAUACGGAAGUGGAGAACGAUUCGCAGCUGGAAUAAAUAUAAUAUUCAAUUUCAAAAAAGAAUAUAAUAGCAGUUAAAUGCAGUGUUUUAAAACAGAUAAAAAAUUGAAUCAGAUAAUUUUUGGAUGUGACCAAACAAGGUCAAACCUGAUUUAAUAAUUUUGUUUAAUAUAUUUUUAGUGUAUAAAUUUAAAAGUAAUGUUAAUAAAUAAUACAUAAUUAAAAUAUAAAGAAAUUUAAAAUAAAACAUUAUAAAUUUAAACUAGUUUUACGUUUAUAUAGAUAUUAUAUCGAUUUUUGAUAUUUCUAUUAGUUUUAUCAACUUAAUUACUCUGAGAUAAAAUCCAGCCACUUGAUCGGUUCAUGUUUAUUAGAUCCAACUUGGCAAUGUAUCAUGUUUAUAGUCGAACUCGGUCAACCAUCGGAUUCGGUUUUAAAAACGCUUGUUAAAUGGUUAAUCAGAAUUUGACCUUUUUAAUAAGGGCAGAAAGGUAAAUCAGCCAAUUUUGGGAGAGAGCUUUGUGUGACGCCCAAAUCCAAAGUCAAACUCUGGUCCACUCUCUAAACUACACUGUUAGAGAGAGAGAGAGAGAGAGAGAGAGAGAGAGAUGGGAGCGGCGACGAUGAGGAAGAAGGCGGAGGAGCUGGUGGAGAAGGCGAUGAAGGGAAACGAUGCUUCUCACGAUGCCUCGCACGUGUGGAGGGUCAGAGACCUCGCUAUGUCCCUUGCUCGCGAGGAAGGUCUCUCUUCCAACUCCGACUCCAUGGAAAUUGUGAGCCUUACUAAAUCCUCUCCAAAGUCCCCCCUGAUUUGUUCGCCGGAAUCUGGAACCGUAGUUAGUUCCUGAUUCAGUGAGAGGCUGAUGUGUGGUUAUUAGCAAUAUAUGGUGGAGAUUUUCAUAGAAUGUGAGAUGUUUUUUCAAUGUGUUUUUCUCAUUUGCAGGUGGAGCUUGCAGCUCUUCUCCAUGAUAUAGGUACACUUCCCUUUUGGGCAUCUUUUUCUUUUUUUUUUUUUAAGUCAUGUGUUUUUUUUUGUAUAUUCCCACUGAUUUAAUCGUUAUGUGUAUCUCUCUCUAUCAGGUGAUUACAAGUACAUAAGGUGUUGUUUCUCUAUCCAUCUCUAGAGGUUUAUUUCUUUUUUGAACCGCUUAGUAGACUAACAUCCCUUGCACCAUUCUUUGAUCAUACUACCAAAAGAUUAAAUGCUUACUUUCUCUAUAAUUCCCUGCGUUUAAACUUCCUUUUAACUAACCGUGAGGGGCUGGAUACUAUCUCUUUCUAUAUACUGUAAUCUGUAGUGGAUGCCAUUAGAUUAGGCUUGUGAGGAAUGCCUUGCUCGGUUUGCUCACUCUAGGAUUAGUUGUGCUCUACUAACUAAGUUGAACUUAGUGUGAAAACUAUGAAUCAUGAAGACUUCGUUUUCUGCCUCUGAUGUUAUAACCUGAUUUUAGAGACCCUUCGGAAGCUAAGCUUGUUGAGAAUUUCCUGGAUGAUGAGGGUGUGGAAGAGACCAAGAAGGUGAAAAUACUAAAGAUCAUCAAUGGAAUGGGUUCGUUUCCUGCUCCAACUUCUUAACUCACCAAAUCUAGUCUACUAUAGCUCGCUUUAGUUCUCACUGCGGUUAAGUUAAGAGUUUGUAAAUAAAAAAAAGAGGCAUUAUGUUGUAUCUAAAUGUAUGAACAUGACAAAGAGUAUUUUUUCCAGGUUUUAAAGACGAAUUAUCAGGGCAAACACUCUGCGAAUCUCUUCCAGAGUUUGGGGUAGUUCAAGAUGCUGAUCGCCUUGAUGCCAUUGGCGCCAUAGGUUAGAAUGCUUCUCGACAGUUUAAAGAGCUUUUGAUCUGCCACUGUCAAAUUGUCUGCCCUGUUGUCUCUUUCUAUGUUUGUGCUCUUAGUUGUUUUUGAUCUCUUUAUAAUUUAGGAAUUGCUCGUUGCUUUACGUUUGGUGGGAGCAGGAACAGAGUGCUUCACGAUCCUGAGAUCAAGCCCCGGACAGAGUUAACCAAAGAGCAGUACAUGAAGAAAGAGGAGCAAACCACCAUUAACCACUUCCAUGAGAAACUCCUCAAGCUGAAGAAGCUGAUGAAAACCCAGGUGAGAUUUACUGGAAAACAAUUCUCUACAACUUUCAAAUUUUGUUUCGGUUUGAGAUUUGAAUGUGGUGCUGAAAAAAAAUAUCAGGCGGGUAAAAGAAGGGCAGAGAAAAGGCACGAGUUCAUGGAAGAGUUCCUUAAGGAGUUCUAUCAAGAGUGGGAUGGGAGAGCUUGAUAAAGUUGAUGCAUGGAGAAGAAAAGCAGAGGAUGUAUUCAAAGGGUUGCUUAACCGUACCUAAAUGAGUAAGCUGUACCAGACCAAACCGACCUACAUGUGGUUUGGGUUUAAACAGAGUGAAAAGUGAACAGCUGUUUUUGUUUUGAACAACAGUGAACAGCUGUUAAAACUCAAAUAUUUACCUCGUGAUGAUAUUAUAAACUAGUUUAAGGUUUGUCAAUGCUAUUUAUGAAUAUGAUUGUGGAAGGAAUCAAGGUUUACAUGAUAAUCCUAGUCUUUGUUUUUUUAAAAAGAAUGUUGACUUCCUGUUUCCAUUUUUAAGUCUUCGUUCAGUAAUAUUCCUGCCAAUUGACAUGGUUUAAGAAAACGUUUCUGGAUGUUUGAGUAAGUCAUUGCGAAGCUAUCAUCGGUCGGCCAUCAAAUGUCAUGUUCUUGGUUUGAAUUUGUAUAUUUUAUACUCAAGUGACGUAACUAUAAAAUUUAUAAGCGUAAACUUUUUUUCGGAAACACAAGCGGAAACUUUUAUAUUGAUAACAUUUGCAACUCUAUUUACGUUAAUAUAAUAGUUUUUUUAGGUAUUUUUCUCACAAAGUCAGUCGUUAAAAAACAAUAUUUGGGAAGAGUUUGAACUUAUCAGACAAGUAAUUCGAUGGAUAUUCCUAAUAUAUAUUAUUUAUAGUAUUUAAAAGCAUGGAAUGAACGAAUUGUUAACAUAUAUCCAAGUCUUUUGGUUUGUAGUAUUAGAAAACCAUGAGACUAAUCGCGAUCGCGUAUAAACAAUAAUCUAUCGUUAUACAUAACACAUGUCCAUCAUUAAGAGGACUCUGGUUAUUCUAAACAACGAAUGGGUCGGCCAUUGCGUGUUGAAAUUGUGUGUUAAGUAAAACAUUAUAGUUAAUCAAAUCCCAAAUAUCUAACCGUCUCUAACAUGCAUUUUCAGUUCUUUAUGCAACCAAAAUCAUAACUAAAAUUGACAUUUAUAAACUAGAAUGUUUAUAAACGAAUGUAUCAUUUAUAAACUAGACUGUUUACAUUCAUUUUGAAUUAGUUGAAAUUAACAUUUAUAAACAAAUAAUAGUAUCUGUUUUUUUUGUCAGCACAAUAAUAGUAUCAUUUGCAAAACUUUAGAUUAUAUAUAUAUAUAUAUAACUCGCAAAUAAAUAAAAAAGGUCAUGAUCGUGAAGGAUUAUUUUAUGGAGGUUAUGUAGACCCAAAUCUUCCUCCAUGUGUUUAGCGUGCAACUCUACGACAUUCCAUCGUUAAAAAGUUAAAAAGGCGUGGGAACAUUAAUUGAGAUCAAUAAUUUUACAAUCAUUUCAUCCGAUUAAAACUUAAAAUAUACACUCGGAAACUUCGGUGAAAAUAUAUUCACAAGCUGACUAAGAGAAAGCAAAAUGAGACUGUCUUUCUAAGAUUUUUAAAUAUUUGACAAAGAAAAGGUGAAAGCGUAAUAAUACUUAGUUUAAGAAAAAAUAAUAAUACUUUUUUCUCACUAAAUAUGAUUAGAUGUAUAUAAUCUACUAGAGAGGGAGAAAACUAAAAAGAAGCAAAAAGGCUGACAUUUUUAUCAUAAAACAAUGUGCUCUGAAAACGGCAGCGUAUCGCAGAGGCUAUAAAUACAGUCCAUUUAGCGCCGAAAAGGUAACAAAGAAAAAAAAAGUUUUUUUUACCAUUUAAAAAAAAAACAGGUCUUCUCUUCUCUCCCUCUCGGACCUAGUCACAUCCUCGACGGCUCCACUCUUCCUCGAAUCAUCUUCUUCGUCCUUAUCCUCUUCACGAGCCUCUUCUGUGAAAUUCAAUCCGAUUUAUUCUUCUUCAUUCACGCUCUAUAUAUACAUCUCACCUCACCUCGUCUGGUCAGCUCUGUUUCUCUUCAUCGACCGGUUCGAAAUCGGGGUCAAACCGGCUCCGAGCUAUCUACCAGGUUCGAGGAUUUCAAAUUUUAAUCUGGUCUGAUGGGAUCGGAGCCUCGGGAAGACCCGAGGCGCGAACUGAUUGACUUGCCUGUUCUUCACAAACUCAAACUCUACAGUACUCGCACGGUACGCGAAAAUAUCUCCUCAUCUCCCGCUUAGUUUAUUGUUCUUGAUUCGCAUCAAUGUGAUCUUUUACCGUCAACUGAUCUACCGAUAAUUACGUUAAUACAUUUAUGGUUUUAAUGGAUUUUCGAUUAUGUUUUAAGACAUAACAGCAUUAUUCUCCGGUUUGCAUUAAAAAAACGGUUCGGUUUUUGUUUAAUGAAACUGUUUUUUUUUUUAUGUACUUGCUUGGUGGUUUCAUAUGAUUUGUAGUGUAAGGGAUGAGUCUUUAGCUUGACAUCAUGUAGCGUCUUUGGUUCUAAGUUUUCUAUUAAUAAAUUAUUAAUAUAAAAAAAAAUUAUAGUGAAAAACUACAUUUUGGUUUGAUGUUUGUGAAUGAAUUUGGUUGUUUUGUGCAGAAUUUUUACUUGAUUGGGAGAGACGAGAAGAAAACUUUUUGGAGGAUUCUUAAGAUUGAUCGAACGGAACCGAAAGAGUUGAAUUUGUUUGAAGAUCCGACAAAGUAUACACAUGAUGAAAUCAGCCAACUUAAAAAAUGGAUUAGUAGAGGGAACCAGGAGCAUGGUGGACUUAGAGCAGAGACUACUUGCUAUGGUAUCAUUGGUACGUCAGUCCCAAAGCAUUGUCUUUCUUUUUUAUUUUCUCAUUUUUAUGUGUCGUUGAAGCUAUGGAGCUAUAAUGAUUCUCUGGGUGCAGGGUUUGUUAGAUUCUUGGGGCCUUAUUACAUGCUUGUGAUUAGAAAAAGGAAGAAAGUGGGGGAGAUCUGCGGCCAUGCUAUCUAUGGUGUAGCGGAGAGUCAAAUGAUCAUGGUUCCGUAUCCUUCUAGUGAGACGAGAGUGUCUGGUUCUGCAGCCGAGCGAAGGUAUAGGAAGCUCUUCAACAUGGUGGAUCUUAGCAAAAACUUCUACUUCAGCUACACGUAUCGCCUCAUGUACUCCCUCCAGAAGAACAUCUGCAACACUGAGAGAGGAAAAAUUCACGACAACAGCAUGUUUGUCUGGAACGAAUAUUUAACACGAGGGAUCAGAGGGAUCCUCAAGAAUACCGUAUGGACAGUUGCAUUAGUAUACGGAUUCUUUGAACAGGUAGCUAUAAAAUGCAUGCAUAUAUGAUUGGUUUAGUAACAAGACCUAAUCACUACUGCUCAUUUGCUGUUGUACUACAGAUUAAAUGUUCAGUAUCUAAUGAAGAAUUUAUUUUGACUGUCAUUGCUCGGCGUUCACGCCGUUAUGCUGGUACAAGGUACUUGCUAUAUAUGUUCUAUUUUCCUGUCUUUUAUCUCUGUUAUUUUUUUCUCUCAUGGACUAACAAUCCUUGCCUCCUCUCUCGGUUAAUGUGCAGAUAUUUAAGGCGUGGUGUGAAUGAGCAAGGCAGCGUAGCCAAUGAGGUUGAGAUAGAGCAGAUCGUUUCCAGAGAGGUUCCAGAGGGGAAGAAAAUCCCUAUAACAUCAGUUGUGCAGGUUCGAGGCUCCAUACCGCUAUUCUGGUCCCAGGAGACAUCUGUGUUCAAUCCACAACCCGACAUAAUAUGUAAGCACCACUGACAUAUAGAUCCUUGUUUCUUACAUUAUUCUUAACGCUUAUGUUUCUCUCUUUUACCGGCCACAGUAAAUAACACAGACGAGAAUUACGCAGCUACUAAGCUCCACUUUGAGAAUCUGAGACAGAGAUAUGGGAAGCGGAUAAUCAUCAUGAAUCUUCUAAAAGUAGGCUUUCUGAACUUUACUAGGACAACAAGUCAAAAGUUUAUACACUGGUUCCUCCUUUUCUUGGAUUGCUGGAAUUUUGAGUGUGUAGCUUUGCUAUUCUGCGAUAUUCAGACAGGUGAUAAAGACCAUCGAGAAAGCAUCUUAAAGGCAGCGUUUGGAAAGGCAAUCUGGUUUAUAAACAGACAGACGAAGAAGGAUAGCCGCUUAAAAGCAAUCCAUUAUGAUCUAAACAAACACUUCAAAAGGUUCUCUACCACCUAUUAAGAAGAAACUGAUGGGGUUGGUGUAAUAAGUCUAAACCCGUUUUUUUCCUUGCCCUUUUGCAGCGGAGUUGAUGGUGCAUUCGAGCAGCUGUGUGUCCUUGGGAAGAGAGCGUUGGACUUGAUUGACUUAUUCUUCUGUGAAGCUCCUUUAGGCAUUGGAGCUGAAGGCGUUAUUAACGACUCAUUUUUAAAGUAAGUUUGGUAAUGCUAUAUGUAUGUUAUUAGUAUAUAUGCAUCCUAAUAUUAAUGUUACCCAUGCUCCAGUAACCCUAUUAUGAAUCAAGAUAAAGAGGAAACUAUUCAAGAAAAUGAAUCUUUGAAGGCGGAUAUACAUAAGCUUCAAAGUGGGGUGUUGAGGACAAACUGCGUAGACUGCUUGGAUCGUACUAAUGUUGCUCAGUACUCCCACGGAUUGGUAGCUCUUAACCAGCAGCUGCGUACAUUGGGUAUCACAGGACCUCCUAUCGUCGAUAAAGACAACCCCGUGGCAAAGAAACUGAUGGAAGUUUACGAAAACGCGGGUGAUGCAAUUGCAAUUCAGUAUGCUGGCUCGGAAGCUCACACCAAGGUGAUUUUUGAUCUCCCAACACAUUUUUCUAUUAAGCUUGAGUUGCUGUUGUUGAACUAUGUGUGGUUUAACAGAUGUUCAGUGCGCUGAGAGGUGAGUGGAACAUGAUGAUGAAACACCGUGACAUCAUCACAGCUGUUCGUCGUCACUACAACAACGCUUAUCAGGACGGCGAAAAGCAGAACGCUAUCAAUGUGUAAGCUUUGGAAACUUCUCAUCUUUUUUUUUUAUUAACUUGUUAUGUAUUUGUCUGUUCUAAAAAUAAUUUCUCUUGACAGGUUCUUGGGGAAAUCCGGGCCUCAACUGGGGAGGCAAGCCCCGUGGGAGUUGGGUUCUGACCAACGCAACACUAGAAGAACUAGUUCUAACCUAGACAUCGAAACCCUGAGGUACCUUGUUGACCAAACAAGCUCUCUUUAUAAGUUGACAUAUAACUUGCAAAAGACUGAGAUAUGUUCCAAUACACAACAGGCCAAAAAUUUCAAGAUCCUUAUCGGAUAACCUUCUCUUAUUGGGUGAACUGAAUCUGGAGGAGCCGAUACUCGAAAAUCCAGAGCCUUCACGUGAAGGGUUAAACGGUGUUAUAUGGGAAACAACUUCAGAAUCUGGAUUCAUUGAAGCUGAACCAACUUCUCCAACGUGGGUUCAUCAAAGUCUCUUUUAUUUAACUUCUUGUAAAGAUCUCGUUUGUUACUUAUGUCUGAUUCUUCUUCCUCUUUUGGUAAACAUCUUCAGCUUCCACUCGGCUAUUGUCGAUGAGGAUCAUUUGAGACGAACAGGAUCAAGACAAAUGUUACAAGGGAGUAGCUCUAUGUCUGAUUUUCUUGGUCUGGAUGAUGUACCUGGUUUUUCACACUCAUACAAUGCUAGAUUCACUCCGGCAGAUGAAAUGUUUGAAAUCUGCAGGUAAAAUUUUAUUAUUUUAAGUAACUGAGGUAUAUCUAUUCUCUUAUAUAAUGCAGGCCUGGUAAAUUAAUGAUGUAAAUGUUUUGUGCAGCUCCGUGUCGUCAGAUAACAUGUUCACGGACCUGGACGAAUCCAUCACUUCUACAACUGAUACGAACAUUCUUGAGGUAAUAGUCCUUCAUCACCAUAUCACCUUUUAAUUAUUCAAGUUACUUGUAAGCUUAGUAGCCAAACAAAGACACUGACCGGGUCGUUUUUUUUUCUCAUCUUGAUAGUUUCAUAGCAGUUCGAAUCAACCAGGACGUUUCAUUGAAUUUCCUUUAGUAGAUGGAUACUCAAAUGAAUUCACUCAGUGGGUUCUACACGAAAAAUCAUCAUUGUCAAGGGCUCCGAGAUGAAACUUGUGCCUUGCACGGGAAGUUAACGGACGUAAGGCAGGGUUGGACAGGCAUGAUACACACGCACACACACACAAUAACAGCCACAUCUUUGUACAUACCCGAUUCAGCUUUGUAAAGGUCCUUGUUUCUUGUAUUUCUUUCUCCUACCAAGGUUGAUUUCUAUCUCUUUCUUUCUUUUUCAUCACCCACAAAAAGUUGAUUUUGUUUGUUUUUUGGUAUAUAGAGGGGUUGGUUUGGUUCAAUUUUUCUAGUAAUUUGUGGCGGCCCAAUUGGCUGAACCGCAAUGNNNNNNNNNNNNNNNNNNNNNNNNNNNNNNNNNNNNNNNNNNNNNNNNNNNNNNNNNNNNNNNNNNNNNNNNNNNNNNNNNNNNNNNNNNNNNNNNNNNNNNNNNNNNNNNNNNNNNNNNNNNNNNNNNNNNNNNNNNNNNNNNNNNNNNNNNNNNNNNNNNNNNNNNNNNNNNNNNNNNNNNNNNNNNNNNNNNNNNNNNNNNNNNNNNNNNNNNNNNNNNNNNNNNNNNNNNNNNNNNNNNNNNNNNNNNNNNNNNNNNNNNNNNNNNNNNNNNNNNNNNNNNNNNNNNNNNNNNNNNNNNNNNNNNNNNNNNNNNNNNNNNNNNNNNNNNNNNNNNNNNNNNNNNNNNNNNNNNNNNNNNNNNNNNNNNNNNNNNNNNNNNNNNNNNNNNNNNNNNNNNNNNNNNNNNNNNNNNNNNNNNNNNNNNNNNNNNNNNNNNNNNNNNNNNNNNNNNNNNNNNNNNNNNNNNNNNNNNNNNNNNNNNNNNNNNNNNNNNNNNNNNNNNNNNNNNNNNNNNNNNNNNNNNNNNNNNNNNNNNNNNNNNNNNNNNNNNNNNNNNNNNNNNNNNNNNNNNNNNNNNNNNNNNNNNNNNNNNNNNNNNNNNNNNNNNNNNNNNNNNNNNNNNNNNNNNNNNNNNNNNNNNNNNNNNNNNNNNNNNNNNNNNNNNNNNNNNNNNNNNNNNNNNNNNNNNNNNNNNNNNNNNNNNNNNNNNNNNNNNNNNNNNNNNNNNNNNNNNNNNNNNNNNNNNNNNNNNNNNNNNNNNNNNNNNNNNNNNNNNNNNNNNNNNNNNNNNNNNNNNNNNNNNNNNNNNNNNNNNNNNNNNNNNNNNNNNNNNNNNNNNNNNNNNNNNNNNNNNNNNNNNNNNNNNNNNNNNNNNNNNNNNNNNNNNNNNNNNNNNNNNNUUUAGGGUUUAGGGUUUAGAGUUUAGGGUUUAGGGUUUAGAGUUUAGGGUUUAGGGUUUAGAGUUUAGGGUUUAGGGUUUAGAAUUUAGAGUUUAGGGUUUAGAGUUGAGAAAUGAGGUUUUGGGGAUAAGAUUUUAGAUUUUGAAAAAUAAAAAAAAUUAAAAUUUUCAAAGGAUAAACUUAGAAAGGUGCUAUUUUGGUCAUUUUAGUUUUUGAGUGCUAUUUUUGUGAUAUAAACUUAGAAAUGUGCUAUUUUGGAGAUUUGCCCUUCAUAUUUCAUUGUCGUUAAGUAAUUAUAUAUAACCUAUAAAAUACCAAAAAGCAUAUAAAAUUUUAUCCAAAAUCUGAUUAAUGACAUAAAAAAUACCAUAAAUUUUAUCUCAUUAUCCGAAUUAUAUUUUUUGAAAAUCUAAAGCUUUAUCCAAAACUAUUCCCAAAAACCUAAAUCAAAAACUUUAAAAAUACCCAUAAUAACAAAAACCCAAUAAAAUAAAAAGAUGGUUCAGUUCGGACCGGAAUUUUUUGGAUCGGUUUUGGAUUAGACACGGAUAAAAUAUCCAGGCCUUUAAAAAACUCAAACACCCACAUUAAAUCCAUAGCCCAAAACAAUAUUCAGAUAGAUAAGGGUUUUUGAAUGAUUUUUAUUAUUUCGAUAAAAAAGAAUGAUUUUUAUUUAUAAAUUAUAAAUUAUAUAUUUAUAUAGUAAAUAUGCUUAUUUUAAAAUUAAAAAUAAUUAGUGAUAUGUAAACUGAAUAUAUAUUAUAAUAUUUAAUGAAUGAUUUAUAGAAUAUAACAUAUAAAUAAAUAAUAUGUCUUAUAUCCAUUUUUAAAAUAAAUUUGUCUAACAUAAAUUAUUACUUAAUAUGAUAAAUAAAAUAAACUAUGAAACUAUAAUGUUGAGAUAAUUAAAGGCAAGAGGAAUACAAGGGGAUAUAUGUUGUGCUCGAUGCGGAGAACCGGAGGAAUCAAUAAACCAUGUGUUUUUUGAAUGCCUCCCAGUACGUCAAGUAUGGGCUACAUCUAAAAUCCCAUUGAAUCACAAUUUGUUUCCUACAUGAUCUUUUUUUGGUAAUAUGGAUCAUUUGUUAUGGCGAGUUAAUCCAAAGAUGGAUGACCAUCAAUUUGCUUGGAUAUUAUGGUAUAUCUGGAAAUGUGGAAAUAAUAAAGUAUUUAGUAACCUGGAUAUUAACCCAAGGAAAACACUCAAAUUAGCAGAAUUGGAAUCUUCACUUUGGGCUGAGGCACAUGUAAUCAAUGACCAAAAGAGAGAAUUACAGGUACAGACCAGAUCCACAUUGGUAACUACAGGACGCUGGUGUUUUAUAGAUGGUUCAUGGAAAGAUAAGGAUCUAUUUUCAGGACAAGGCUGAUAUAGUACCCUACCGGGUUUCGAUGGCUUAUUAGGGGCAAGGAAUGUAAGGGCAUGUCUUUCACCCCUCUAUUCGGAGGUGGAGGCUCUGAUCUGGGUAAUGGAAUGCAUGAAGAAUUUAAGACUUUUUCAGGUUACGUUUGCAACGGAUUGUUCUCAAUUGGUGAAGAUGGUUUCGGAACCAGAAGAAUGACCAGCAUUUGAAAGUUAUCUGAAAAAUAUCAAGGUCUUACAAAGAAGUUUCUUCAACUCAGAGAUCGUUCAUGUACCUCGGACGGAGAAUCUAAGGGCGGAUAGCUUAGCACGCAGUGCUAGAAAACAACCGUCUUUCGUCGUUCACAUGGAUGCGGAGUUACCGAUUUGGUUUACAGAGUCAAGUUGAGUCUGUGAAUGUCUUUGUUGUCAAAAAAAAAGAAGAUAAUUAAUGUUUAGUUUGAAAAUGAAUCAAAUUAACUAAAUAAAACUAUUGAUAUACAAUAAUUAUGAAUGAAACACUGGUGAUUUCAAUAUAUUUUAUAAAAUGUAUAAAAUAUAAUAAAUAGAACUGACAAAAAAAGUUAUUUUCAAUUUGUGUAAACAAUGAAGAAGUGUUGUUUAUUUAAAGAUAAUAAGAUAAUAUAUAUUUAUAUAUUACUAGUGGUAUUUGGUUCGUAUAUUUUAUUUUUACAUAAAUUUACUAUUCAUUUUUGGUUUUAGUAAAAAUAUAUGUUCACAAAUAUCAAAAUGAUAAUUUGUUGAAAGAAAAUAGAUUUUUUGAUCCAUUUAAUAGUGGUUAACGGCUGUAAUGUAUUACUUUGUUUUGAAGUUGCUUAGUUCAAAGUGGAGUUGCAUAAGUGUGUGACUAAUCGAUUCGGUAAAAAUAGAAUAAAAUCGAUCAUCGUAAUAAAGUUAAUUUAGUUGGAAUUCAAACAUAAAGUAAAGUUGAUGUUUUAUUUAGAGAAAAUACUUAUAUUAUUAAGUACUAUGUGUUUAGUGUACAGAAGGAACAUCAUUUGAAAUUUUAUUUUAUAGACUAAUAUGAAUUUAGACAUAUUUAAUUAAGUUUUGUUUUAUAUAUUCUUCUUAUUUUAUUUUUGGUAAGAAACUCAUUCUGGCAUAAAACAUAUUAGGAAAUGAGAGAAAACAUUUAUAAAAUUUGUUUUAAAAUUAAUAAGAAAAUCAAAAAAUUAUGUAAACGAAUCUGAAAAUUAGAACAUAAAAAAAGCCCCUUAAAAAUUGUAAUAAUGCUGAAUCAUAGAUGAUUUUCUCUACAUAUGGGACAGCUUAUAUUUGUACGAAGCCACUAAUCAAUGUAGCUGAAAUGGAAAGUAUAGCCGCAACUAAGAGCAUAGAUAGAUUCUAUUGUUUUAAUUUUCGAAGCGAACAGUGCAUGUAUCGUCUUCUUCUUAUGUAGUUGGAGGCCUAUUAGUUUCUUCAAGAUUGGUGAUGACAAGGUCGACGUCAAGUCAUGCAGUUGCAUUUUAGUUGUAGUCGGUGAUGGUAAGAGUAACUUGAAGAUCAUCGGUUAUAUUAUUGUUUUCGUCUGUUAGUAAUUUCAUCACAUAUUGGGUUGUUUCUUAAAUAAGCUGGGGUGAGUCGGGAUAGAUUGUUGUGUGCUGUGUCUAUUGAUGUAGAAUUGGAGUGUGUGAUGGGGAUUUGCUCUUGAAGGUUUUGUUUGGUUUGAAAAUUUAUAAGAGAUAAAUGGUUCGUUAUUGUUUCUUUUAUCAAACCAGAUUCUAUGCAUGAGUGUUUGUAGAAGCAUAAUAGUUGUUUCUACAAUUAAAUGCUCUUUCAGGGUCGACGUUUGUUUUUGCCAUCUUGAUGCAGGGCCGUCGAGAAGCUGAAGCUACUAAAUGAGGCUUUGGGUGCUACCAAAAAGAACGUGGCGAGGCUUCAAGAGCGUCAUCAUGUGGUUCUCAAAAAGAUAUGUUCUUAUACCUUGUUAACGCCGAGCUCCAAGAAGCUUUGGUUGAAGCUCGAGCAGCCAUUGAUGUUGCUUUAAGUUUUGUCAUGGAGCUUAGAAGGUUACAAUUGAAUAUUAAACUCUAUUCCAUGAUCAACUUCUGAUACUUUUAAUCUUUGUAAUUAAAUAUAAGUAAAACGUAUCAAUGGUGAUUUAAAUAUAUUUGCUUCUUUGGGUUAAUUAACGAAAGAUAAUGCUUCUUUAGUGUGGGGGAUGAAUCCUACAGCUGAGGUUAAUCAAGUGUUUUAUAUAUUUCCUUUCUUUCUGACUCCCCCCACGUUUAGUAAAUUAUACAUCUGCCCAUCAUCAACAUCGUGUAAGAACCCAAACAAAACUAAAGAAAUACAAUAUGAACGGUUAACUUCAUCAAGAAUCGGUUUGCUAGCGUGGCAGUAGAUGGUAAUAUAACAUCUUGCUGAGUAUAUUAAGCAAAUCGUAAACCGUCAUAAAACCAAAAAAAAAAGGUACUUGUAUUUGUAAGAAUUAGGAAGUACUGGAAAAGUAAUUUUUGAAUGAUUAAAUGUAUUAAGUACUGGAAAAGUAAUUUUUUUCAAUGAUUCAAUAUGUUUUUAGAUAUGUUUGUUCAUAAAACAUCAAAAACUAAAAAUUAAUGAGUCCUACGAGUCAUACAUAGCAGAGAAAGAGGGAAUCCUCUCGUCUAUGGCAAGACGUGCAAAGGUUAGCCAUUCACAGAGAACUUUAUUAGUAGCAAUCAUGUUUUUUUUUUCUGGUGUUAAUACUUUUGAGCUCUCACUGUGCAGACUCUUGAAGAAGCUUUGAACAAGUUGGAGGGUAUAACAUGCAAUAGAGCAGAGGGAGCUAUGUAUCUAUUCCCUUGCAUUAACCUUCCACAGAAGGCGAUUGCAGCUGCAGAAGCUGCAAAGACGGCACCGGACACGUUCUACUGCAAACGCCUCCUAAACGCAACUGGAAUAGUCGUAGUCCCUGGGUCUGGAUUUAGACAGGUACCGGGAACAUGGCAUUUCAGGUGCACUAUACUUCCUCAAGAGGAUAAGAUUCCUGCAAUCGUGAACCGUCUCACUGAGUUCCACAAGAGCUUCAUGGAUGAGUUCCGCGACUAAGGGGAUUAAAUGCUUCUAAGAUAAGAUUAAAUCUUUGAGUAAUAAUAAGGAAGAAGGACCCAUGCCGCUUCUUUUCCGUCGACGUUUGUGUUUAAGAUGUGAGAGCAUCUUCUUAUUCAGCUUUUGUGUUGCUCUUUUGUAUUGGCUGAUACUGAUAAACAAGCAUAAGUUUUUUAUUGAGAAGAGUUUUUCUUAUAGACAAUUAAACUAAUUACUCAUUCAUGCUUUUUCCAUAAAUCGAGGUUACGUUUUCAUAUCUCUGUCUUCUUGGUGGCUGAUACGGAAGUGGAGAACGAUUCGCAGCUGGAAUAAAUAUAAUAUUCAAUUUCAAAAAAGAAUAUAAUAGCAGUUAAAUGCAGUGUUUUAAAACAGAUAAAAAAUUGAAUCAGAUAAUUUUUGGAUGUGACCAAACAAGGUCAAACCUGAUUUAAUAAUUUUGUUUAAUAUAUUUUUAGUGUAUAAAUUUAAAAGUAAUGUUAAUAAAUAAUACAUAAUUAAAAUAUAAAGAAAUUUAAAAUAAAACAUUAUAAAUUUAAACUAGUUUUACGUUUAUAUAGAUAUUAUAUCGAUUUUUGAUAUUUCUAUUAGUUUUAUCAACUUAAUUACUCUGAGAUAAAAUCCAGCCACUUGAUCGGUUCAUGUUUAUUAGAUCCAACUUGGCAAUGUAUCAUGUUUAUAGUCGAACUCGGUCAACCAUCGGAUUCGGUUUUAAAAACGCUUGUUAAAUGGUUAAUCAGAAUUUGACCUUUUUAAUAAGGGCAGAAAGGUAAAUCAGCCAAUUUUGGGAGAGAGCUUUGUGUGACGCCCAAAUCCAAAGUCAAACUCUGGUCCACUCUCUAAACUACACUGUUAGAGAGAGAGAGAGAGAGAGAGAGAGAGAGAGAGAGAGAGAGAGAGAGAGAGAGAGAGAGAGAGAGAGAGAGAGAGAGAGAGAGAUGGGAGCGGCGACGAUGAGGAAGAAGGCGGAGGAGCUGGUGGAGAAGGCGAUGAAGGGAAACGAUGCUUCUCACGAUGCCUCGCACGUGUGGAGGGUCAGAGACCUCGCUAUGUCCCUUGCUCGCGAGGAAGGUCUCUCUUCCAACUCCGACUCCAUGGAAAUUGUGAGCCUUACUAAAUCCUCUCCAAAGUCCCCCCUGAUUUGUUCGCCGGAAUCUGGAACCGUAGUUAGUUCCUGAUUCAGUGAGAGGCUGAUGUGUGGUUAUUAGCAAUAUAUGGUGGAGAUUUUCAUAGAAUGUGAGAUGUUUUUUCAAUGUGUUUUUCUCAUUUGCAGGUGGAGCUUGCAGCUCUUCUCCAUGAUAUAGGUACACUUCCCUUUUGGGCAUCUUUUUCUUUUUUUUUUUUUAAGUCAUGUGUUUUUUUUUGUAUAUUCCCACUGAUUUAAUCGUUAUGUGUAUCUCUCUCUAUCAGGUGAUUACAAGUACAUAAGGUGUUGUUUCUCUAUCCAUCUCUAGAGGUUUAUUUCUUUUUUGAACCGCUUAGUAGACUAACAUCCCUUGCACCAUUCUUUGAUCAUACUACCAAAAGAUUAAAUGCUUACUUUCUCUAUAAUUCCCUGCGUUUAAACUUCCUUUUAACUAACCGUGAGGGGCUGGAUACUAUCUCUUUCUAUAUACUGUAAUCUGUAGUGGAUGCCAUUAGAUUAGGCUUGUGAGGAAUGCCUUGCUCGGUUUGCUCACUCUAGGAUUAGUUGUGCUCUACUAACUAAGUUGAACUUAGUGUGAAAACUAUGAAUCAUGAAGACUUCGUUUUCUGCCUCUGAUGUUAUAACCUGAUUUUAGAGACCCUUCGGAAGCUAAGCUUGUUGAGAAUUUCCUGGAUGAUGAGGGUGUGGAAGAGACCAAGAAGGUGAAAAUACUAAAGAUCAUCAAUGGAAUGGGUUCGUUUCCUGCUCCAACUUCUUAACUCACCAAAUCUAGUCUACUAUAGCUCGCUUUAGUUCUCACUGCGGUUAAGUUAAGAGUUUGUAAAUAAAAAAAAGAGGCAUUAUGUUGUAUCUAAAUGUAUGAACAUGACAAAGAGUAUUUUUUCCAGGUUUUAAAGACGAAUUAUCAGGGCAAACACUCUGCGAAUCUCUUCCAGAGUUUGGGGUAGUUCAAGAUGCUGAUCGCCUUGAUGCCAUUGGCGCCAUAGGUUAGAAUGCUUCUCGACAGUUUAAAGAGCUUUUGAUCUGCCACUGUCAAAUUGUCUGCCCUGUUGUCUCUUUCUAUGUUUGUGCUCUUAGUUGUUUUUGAUCUCUUUAUAAUUUAGGAAUUGCUCGUUGCUUUACGUUUGGUGGGAGCAGGAACAGAGUGCUUCACGAUCCUGAGAUCAAGCCCCGGACAGAGUUAACCAAAGAGCAGUACAUGAAGAAAGAGGAGCAAACCACCAUUAACCACUUCCAUGAGAAACUCCUCAAGCUGAAGAAGCUGAUGAAAACCCAGGUGAGAUUUACUGGAAAACAAUUCUCUACAACUUUCAAAUUUUGUUUCGGUUUGAGAUUUGAAUGUGGUGCUGAAAAAAAAUAUCAGGCGGGUAAAAGAAGGGCAGAGAAAAGGCACGAGUUCAUGGAAGAGUUCCUUAAGGAGUUCUAUCAAGAGUGGGAUGGGAGAGCUUGAUAAAGUUGAUGCAUGGAGAAGAAAAGCAGAGGAUGUAUUCAAAGGGUUGCUUAACCGUACCUAAAUGAGUAAGCUGUACCAGACCAAACCGACCUACAUGUGGUUUGGGUUUAAACAGAGUGAAAAGUGAACAGCUGUUUUUGUUUUGAACAACAGUGAACAGCUGUUAAAACUCAAAUAUUUACCUCGUGAUGAUAUUAUAAACUAGUUUAAGGUUUGUCAAUGCUAUUUAUGAAUAUGAUUGUGGAAGGAAUCAAGGUUUACAUGAUAAUCCUAGUCUUUGUUUUUUUAAAAAGAAUGUUGACUUCCUGUUUCCAUUUUUAAGUCUUCGUUCAGUAAUAUUCCUGCCAAUUGACAUGGUUUAAGAAAACGUUUCUGGAUGUUUGAGUAAGUCAUUGCGAAGCUAUCAUCGGUCGGCCAUCAAAUGUCAUGUUCUUGGUUUGAAUUUGUAUAUUUUAUACUCAAGUGACGUAACUAUAAAAUUUAUAAGCGUAAACUUUUUUUCGGAAACACAAGCGGAAACUUUUAUAUUGAUAACAUUUGCAACUCUAUUUACGUUAAUAUAAUAGUUUUUUUAGGUAUUUUUCUCACAAAGUCAGUCGUUAAAAAACAAUAUUUGGGAAGAGUUUGAACUUAUCAGACAAGUAAUUCGAUGGAUAUUCCUAAUAUAUAUUAUUUAUAGUAUUUAAAAGCAUGGAAUGAACGAAUUGUUAACAUAUAUCCAAGUCUUUUGGUUUGUAGUAUUAGAAAACCAUGAGACUAAUCGCGAUCGCGUAUAAACAAUAAUCUAUCGUUAUACAUAACACAUGUCCAUCAUUAAGAGGACUCUGGUUAUUCUAAACAACGGAUGGGUCGGCCAUUGCGUGUCCAAAUUGUGUGUUAAGUAAAACAUUAUAGUUAAUCAAAUCCCAAAUAUCUAACCGUUUCUAUGUUACAAAAAAAAAAAAAAAAAAAAAUCUAACCGUUUCUAACAUGCAUUUUCAGUUCUUUAUGUAACCAAUAUAUCAUUUAUAAACUAAACUGCUUACAUUUAUUUUGAAUUAGUCGAAGUUUUUAUCACAAGCUGGACCAAAUUAAUUAACAUUUAUACACAAAUAAUAGUAUCUGUUUUUUUUUUGUCAGCACAAUAAUAGUAUCAUUUGCAAAACUUUAGACAUAUAUAACUCUCAAAUAAAAAAGGUCAUGAUCGUGAAUGAUUAUUUUAUGGAUGUUAUGUAGACCCAAAUCUUUUUUUUUGAUUAACUCAGACCCAAAUCUUCCUCCAUGUGUUUAGCGUGCAACUCUACGACAUUCCAUCGUUAAAAAGAUAAAAAGGCGUGGGAACACUAAUUGAGAUCAAUAAUUUUACAAUCAUUUCAUCCGAUUAAAACUUAAAAUAUACACUCGGAAAUUUCGGUGAAAAUAUAUUCACAAGCUGACUAAGAGAAAGCAAAAUAAGACUGUCUUUCUAAGAUUUGUAAAUAUUCGACAAAGAAAAGGUGAAAACGUAAUAAUACUUAGUUUUAGAAAAAAUAAUAAUACUUUUCAUAUGAUUUCUUACUAAAUAUGAUUAGAUGUAUAAUCUACUAGAGAGGGAGAAAAUUAAAAAGAAGCAAAAAGGCUGACCUUUUAUCAUAAAACAAUGUGCUCCGGAAACGGCAGCGUAUCGGAGAGGCUAUAAAUACAGUCCAUUUAGCGCCGAAAAGGUAACAAAGAAAAAAAGUUUUUUUACCAUUUAAAAAAAAAAACAGGUCUUCUCUUCUCUCCCUCUCGGACCUGGUCACAUCCUCGACGGCUCCACUCUUCCUCGAAUCAUCUUCUUCGUCCUUAUCCUCUUCACGAGCCUCUUCUGUGAAAUUCAAUCCGAUUUAUUCUUCUUCAUUCACGCUCUAUAUAUACAUCUCACCUCACCUCGUCUGGUCAGCUCUGUUUCUCUUCAUCGACCGGUUCGAAAUCGGGGUCAAACCGGCUCCGAGCUAUCUACCAGGUUCGAGGAUUUCAAAUUUUAAUCUGGUCUGAUGGGAUCGGAGCCUCGGGAAGACCCGAGGCGCGAACUGAUUGACUUGCCUGUUCUUCACAAACUCAAACUCUACAGUACUCGCACGGUACGCGAAAAUAUCUCCUCAUCUCCCGCUUAGUUUAUUGUUCUUGAUUCGCAUCAAUGUGAUCUUUUACCGUCAACUGAUCUACCGAUAAUUACGUUAAUACAUUUAUGGUUUUAAUGGAUUUUCGAUUAUGUUUUAAGACAUAACAGCAUUAUUCUCCGGUUUGCAUUAAAAAAACGGUUCGGUUUUUGUUUAAUGAAACUGUUUUUUUUUUUAUGUACUUGCUUGGUGGUUUCAUAUGAUUUGUAGUGUAAGGGAUGAGUCUUUAGCUUGACAUCAUGUAGCGUCUUUGGUUCUAAGUUUUCUAUUAAUAAAUUAUUAAUAUAAAAAAAAAUUAUAGUGAAAAACUACAUUUUGGUUUGAUGUUUGUGAAUGAAUUUGGUUGUUUUGUGCAGAAUUUUUACUUGAUUGGGAGAGACGAGAAGAAAACUUUUUGGAGGAUUCUUAAGAUUGAUCGAACGGAACCGAAAGAGUUGAAUUUGUUUGAAGAUCCGACAAAGUAUACACAUGAUGAAAUCAGCCAACUUAAAAAAUGGAUUAGUAGAGGGAACCAGGAGCAUGGUGGACUUAGAGCAGAGACUACUUGCUAUGGUAUCAUUGGUACGUCAGUCCCAAAGCAUUGUCUUUCUUUUUUAUUUUCUCAUUUUUAUGUGUCGUUGAAGCUAUGGAGCUAUAAUGAUUCUCUGGGUGCAGGGUUUGUUAGAUUCUUGGGGCCUUAUUACAUGCUUGUGAUUAGAAAAAGGAAGAAAGUGGGGGAGAUCUGCGGCCAUGCUAUCUAUGGUGUAGCGGAGAGUCAAAUGAUCAUGGUUCCGUAUCCUUCUAGUGAGACGAGAGUGUCUGGUUCUGCAGCCGAGCGAAGGUAUAGGAAGCUCUUCAACAUGGUGGAUCUUAGCAAAAACUUCUACUUCAGCUACACGUAUCGCCUCAUGUACUCCCUCCAGAAGAACAUCUGCAACACUGAGAGAGGAAAAAUUCACGACAACAGCAUGUUUGUCUGGAACGAAUAUUUAACACGAGGGAUCAGAGGGAUCCUCAAGAAUACCGUAUGGACAGUUGCAUUAGUAUACGGAUUCUUUGAACAGGUAGCUAUAAAAUGCAUGCAUAUAUGAUUGGUUUAGUAACAAGACCUAAUCACUACUGCUCAUUUGCUGUUGUACUACAGAUUAAAUGUUCAGUAUCUAAUGAAGAAUUUAUUUUGACUGUCAUUGCUCGGCGUUCACGCCGUUAUGCUGGUACAAGGUACUUGCUAUAUAUGUUCUAUUUUCCUGUCUUUUAUCUCUGUUAUUUUUUUCUCUCAUGGACUAACAAUCCUUGCCUCCUCUCUCGGUUAAUGUGCAGAUAUUUAAGGCGUGGUGUGAAUGAGCAAGGCAGCGUAGCCAAUGAGGUUGAGAUAGAGCAGAUCGUUUCCAGAGAGGUUCCAGAGGGGAAGAAAAUCCCUAUAACAUCAGUUGUGCAGGUUCGAGGCUCCAUACCGCUAUUCUGGUCCCAGGAGACAUCUGUGUUCAAUCCACAACCCGACAUAAUAUGUAAGCACCACUGACAUAUAGAUCCUUGUUUCUUACAUUAUUCUUAACGCUUAUGUUUCUCUCUUUUACCGGCCACAGUAAAUAACACAGACGAGAAUUACGCAGCUACUAAGCUCCACUUUGAGAAUCUGAGACAGAGAUAUGGGAAGCGGAUAAUCAUCAUGAAUCUUCUAAAAGUAGGCUUUCUGAACUUUACUAGGACAACAAGUCAAAAGUUUAUACACUGGUUCCUCCUUUUCUUGGAUUGCUGGAAUUUUGAGUGUGUAGCUUUGCUAUUCUGCGAUAUUCAGACAGGUGAUAAAGACCAUCGAGAAAGCAUCUUAAAGGCAGCGUUUGGAAAGGCAAUCUGGUUUAUAAACAGACAGACGAAGAAGGAUAGCCGCUUAAAAGCAAUCCAUUAUGAUCUAAACAAACACUUCAAAAGGUUCUCUACCACCUAUUAAGAAGAAACUGAUGGGGUUGGUGUAAUAAGUCUAAACCCGUUUUUUUCCUUGCCCUUUUGCAGCGGAGUUGAUGGUGCAUUCGAGCAGCUGUGUGUCCUUGGGAAGAGAGCGUUGGACUUGAUUGACUUAUUCUUCUGUGAAGCUCCUUUAGGCAUUGGAGCUGAAGGCGUUAUUAACGACUCAUUUUUAAAGUAAGUUUGGUAAUGCUAUAUGUAUGUUAUUAGUAUAUAUGCAUCCUAAUAUUAAUGUUACCCAUGCUCCAGUAACCCUAUUAUGAAUCAAGAUAAAGAGGAAACUAUUCAAGAAAAUGAAUCUUUGAAGGCGGAUAUACAUAAGCUUCAAAGUGGGGUGUUGAGGACAAACUGCGUAGACUGCUUGGAUCGUACUAAUGUUGCUCAGUACUCCCACGGAUUGGUAGCUCUUAACCAGCAGCUGCGUACAUUGGGUAUCACAGGACCUCCUAUCGUCGAUAAAGACAACCCCGUGGCAAAGAAACUGAUGGAAGUUUACGAAAACGCGGGUGAUGCAAUUGCAAUUCAGUAUGCUGGCUCGGAAGCUCACACCAAGGUGAUUUUUGAUCUCCCAACACAUUUUUCUAUUAAGCUUGAGUUGCUGUUGUUGAACUAUGUGUGGUUUAACAGAUGUUCAGUGCGCUGAGAGGUGAGUGGAACAUGAUGAUGAAACACCGUGACAUCAUCACAGCUGUUCGUCGUCACUACAACAACGCUUAUCAGGACGGCGAAAAGCAGAACGCCAUCAAUGUGUAAGCUUUGGAAACUUCUCAUCUUUUUUUUUUAUUAACUUGUUAUGUAUUUGUCUGUUCUAAAAAUAAUUUCUCUUGACAGGUUCUUGGGGAAAUCCGGGCCUCAACUGGGGAGGCAAGCCCCGUGGGAGUUGGGUUCUGACCAACGCAACACUAGAAGAACUAGUUCUAACCUAGACAUCGAAACCCUGAGGUACCUUGUUGACCAAACAAGCUCUCUUUAUAAGUUGACAUAUAACUUGCAAAAGACUGAGAUAUGUUCCAAUACACAACAGGCCAAAAAUUUCAAGAUCCUUAUCGGAUAACCUUCUCUUAUUGGGUGAACUGAAUCUGGAGGAGCCGAUACUCGAAAAUCCAGAGCCUUCACGUGAAGGGUUAAACGGUGUUAUAUGGGAAACAACUUCAGAAUCUGGAUUCAUUGAAGCUGAACCAACUUCUCCAACGUGGGUUCAUCAAAGUCUCUUUUAUUUAACUUCUUGUAAAGAUCUCGUUUGUUACUUAUGUCUGAUUCUUCUUCCUCUUUUGGUAAACAUCUUCAGCUUCCACUCGGCUAUUGUCGAUGAGGAUCAUUUGAGACGAACAGGAUCAAGACAAAUGUUACAAGGGAGUAGCUCUAUGUCUGAUUUUCUUGGUCUGGAUGAUGUACCUGGUUUUUCACACUCAUACAAUGCUAGAUUCACUCCGGCAGAUGAAAUGUUUGAAAUCUGCAGGUAAAAUUUUAUUAUUUUAAGUAACUGAGGUAUAUCUAUUCUCUUAUAUAAUGCAGGCCUGGUAAAUUAAUGAUGUAAAUGUUUUGUGCAGCUCCGUGUCGUCAGAUAACAUGUUCACGGACCUGGACGAAUCCAUCACUUCUACAACUGAUACGAACAUUCUUGAGGUAAUAGUCCUUCAUCACCAUAUCACCUUUUAAUUAUUCAAGUUACUUGUAAGCUUAGUAGCCAAACAAAGACACUGACCGGGUCGUUUUUUUUUCUCAUCUUGAUAGUUUCAUAGCAGUUCGAAUCAACCAGGACGUUUCAUUGAAUUUCCUUUAGUAGAUGGAUACUCAAAUGAAUUCACUCAGUGGGUUCUACACGAAAAAUCAUCAUUGUCAAGGGCUCCGAGAUGAAACUUGUGCCUUGCACGGGAAGUUAACGGACGUAAGGCAGGGUUGGACAGGCAUGAUACACACGCACACACACACAAUAACAGCCACAUCUUUGUACAUACCCGAUUCAGCUUUGUAAAGGUCCUUGUUUCUUGUAUUUCUUUCUCCUACCAAGGUUGAUUUCUAUCUCUUUCUUUCUUUUUCAUCACCCACAAAAAGUUGAUUUUGUUUGUUUUUUGGUAUAUAGAGGGGUUGGUUUGGUUCAAUUUUUCUAGUAAUUUGUGGCGGCCCAAUUGGCUGAACCGCAAUGACAAUGAAUUGUGUGAUUACUGAUGACUGAUUAGAAGUUGGAAGCAACACGCCAUAUUACAAUUCCUAUUCGGUCUAACAUUUGUUGACCCAUGCCUCGUUGUAUUCAAAAAACUAACCAACAAAACGAAACAUAUCACAUGCGAAAAGUGACACUGGGAUGUCUUCUGAACCAGAUCGUUGUAGCUAUGUCGCAAGAGCUAAGGAAUGACAGCGAGCGUCUUAGCCAUGUCGGGUUAACCCGUAUUUUCUGUGUUAUCUGUCGGCAUGAUGUUAAGGUAAAAGGCUUGCAUUCGUGAAGCAUGAUUUUUUUUUUUGGAUUAAUGGUAUUUUAAGGUAAGGGAAAUUUGCCCCUAUAUUAAAAAUACACAAAUCCACUAUCUAACCAAAAACACUUUCUCUCUCCUUAUUUCUCUUUCUAUUUUUCUCUAACCUCUUACUAAAAAUCUAAUAAUUUUUUUUUUUUGUUAUUUGGCAAAUAAGCCCUUGAGGCAAAGACAGAAGGGAAAGUCUAUUAACACAAGUGUCUGUAAUGUACUCUUUAAGAACAACAACAAGAUACAAACUGGCUUAUUUGCUCUUGCAACUAACUUGUUUGUUCAGAGUAUUUUAUUUAAUUAAAGUAUUUUAAUUGUGUGGGGCUGUUGGCUACCAAUUUGUUUGCCCACCAACACCAAAAGCUGUCUGUUAAUUUUACGAGAUAAAUGAAAAACUGCAAUUAUUUGCUUCACUAUUAAAAAUUCAGUUGGAUUGGGUUGGAUUUAACAAUGCAAUAAAAGCUCUCAAUCAAUAUAGUUGGUAUAUUAUGUCAUGUUUUUUUUGAUAAAUUCUAUCGGCCAAUCCGGUCGGUCUCGGAUAGGAGUGUUCAAUCCGGAUAUCGGUUCGGUUUCGGUUCGGUUUUUUUCGGUUUUCGGUAUUUCGGUUAGUAAAAUAUAACUACCAUUCUAAAUCCAUAUUUACUUCGGUUCGGUUCGGUUUAUAUACCGUCGGUUUUCGGUUUAUUCGGUUUUAUACCAAAAAACAUAAUUAUUUUGUUUGAGAUCAUAUUAUAUGAAUUUUAGAGUCAUAUUGUCAACACAGACAUUUAUUAAAAAUAUAUUACAUGUUCAAAUAAAUGAACAAAAAAGUAAAAAUGCUUCUACCAUCAAAUAAAAUAAUCAAAUCUAUAACUAAAAUCAAAGCUUGAAAUUUUGAAAAUAAAAAUAUGAAACAAAACAGAAACAUGAAAGAAAUUUUUUUCCACUCUUCCAUAUUUAGUGUUCAUUAAAGUCAUCUCGGAAAAAAACGUAUUUAGUGCUACAGAGUGGAAUGAUUACUACACUUCCUAUGUUAUGUUUUUAUAACAUUUCUAAUCUUUUACUAAUAAGUUUAAAUAAUUAAGAACUGGGUACUGGUUCUCAUUACCUAUACACACGUUCCUUACGACGAUUAAGGUCGUGUGUUACAGUUCAGCUCUUAAUUUCAAACAUAUUAGUAAUCCAGUUUUGAAAGAUAUAAGUUGCCGUUGAACAAAAAAAGAAAGUUACAAGUUGCCAUUUUGACGUAUGAUACUAAACUUUAUAAGGAACUAUUUAUUUGCGUACAUUGAAAUAAGGUUAAUUCUAUUUAAAAAAAAAAUUAUCAAAAGAACUCAGAAAGAGUAAAAUGUUCAAAAGAGAUUUCGUUAAAGAAAAAAACUAUUUCAUUUAAGAGGAUAAAAAAAAUUCUAUCAUUCCAUAGAUAUUUAAACAUACAUAAUUAUCUAAUAAAUAAUAUAAAUAAAUAAAAAUAAUUUUUAUAUUAUAAUUUUUGAAUUAUACGUUUUGAAUUAAAAAAUUUUAUAAAAAAUUUGAAUAAUUUAUUUUUGAAAAUCUAAAACUUAAUAUUGAAGCUAUUUUUAUAAAUUUUAUUUGAAAUUUUUUAGUAUUUAGUAAAUUAUUCUUUAAAAUCUUAAAUUUCGCCCCUCAAAUCUAAACCAUAAGUUUAAAUUAGUUAAACCUCGAGAUAUAAAUGUCUAUUUACCUUUUAAAUAAACCUCUUUUAGCUAUUUUGACUCUUGAAAAUUAUAUUUGUGAUAAAAACUUUUUUAUAUUCAUCCUAAAGAAUUUCUCUUGCAAUAAUAACAUAGUGGUGUUAAAAAAUUACAUAGUAAAAUAUACAUAAUUAAAUAUCUUUCUCUUUACAUAAUCAAAUAUCAUUUGCGUUGACUUAGUUUAAUAAAAGAUUGCUUUUAAAAAUAAAUUAAUAGAAUGAUUACUAGUACUAAUCAUCAGUAAUACUUGAUUAGGCAAUGAACCUGUGAUGUUUGGGAUUGUAACAUCUCUUGGCGUAAACUUGAUUAGGCAAUGAACCUGUGAUGAACCUGUAUAUCUCUUGGCGUAAACUAUAUUAUAUACAUAAAAUAAAGUUUGGACCAUUUUGUAAGUUAUCUAAACUUCAUUCAAUUAUUAGCUUCAUUUCUACAAUUUGUGUUCUGUAAGUCUAUAACGACAGCUGCAAAAGGUUUUCUCCCACCAGAUUAAAUAAACAUUUAUGAUUUUGAUUGGUGGUCACAAAACAACUAAAAAUAUUAGUUGUAUUCCAUAUUAUGUCAGGCCAAGUGUUUUAGUUAUAUGCAUGAAUGUAUUAAACCAAAACAAGUUUAUAAGAAAAAACCAUAUUUCUAAGGAAUCAUCAUCAUCAAAAUAUAUUAUUUCAAGAUCGUGGACAUGAUGUAAUCUUUAUCUAGAAAACCAUCGAUCACCCUGUAUCCGAUCAUUAGACAACAACCCACAACAGGAGAUUGUCACACACACGCGUAUGCACAUAUCAACCAUGCAUUCUUGCACAUAUAUUCAUGUCAAUAUAUAAUAUAAAAAUAAAAACAGAGCAACGAGACACUAGUUUUACGGAUUCUGUACCCUUAAUCUUUUAUUAGAUGUUCACCUUUCUCGAUCUCUCUCAGUAUAAAUACAAACGAACCUAUUCCUUCAUUGUCACGUCCCAGAAACAUAUAUAACUUUAUCAUUCUGGAUAAACACACACACACAAAAAACACUGCCGUAAUUUCAAGAAAAUCUCCAAUAUUAUUAGUUAUAUUUUGAAGUUUAUUUGUUUGGUUUUGGAAAACCUCCAAUAUUGUUCAAAAUCGAUACUUAUACUUUACCAAUGGCUAAGUUCGGGAAGCUAACAAAGCUCAAGUCGGUCAUAAAGAAAUGGCCUUCCUUCAUCAAGAACCACCACUCAAGCACCGUAUCUACCACCACCUCCGCCACCGCCACCGAGGUCUCAAAAUGCAACGAUCUUCGACUAGUUUACGUUGGGAAGUCUCGAAGACCUUACAUGCUUAGUUCCCACGUCAUUGACCAUCCGCUUUUCCAGGAAUUACUUGAUCGUUCAUCGAGAUUCAUGGAAGAACGUCACGAUCAAAAGACAAUCUUAGUAGCUUGUGAAGUCGUAUUGUUCGAACACUUGUUAUGGAUGCUCAACAACAGUUGCUCCGAUCACAACGAUGAUGAUGAUGAUUGCGAAGGAGGAUCCGUCGAGGAAUUGGCUGAGUUCUACACUUAUUGAGGGCGAUAUAUUUUCUUUUUUCUUAUAAUAUAUCAUUUUUGUACCUAAUGAAAAUUUUGAUUUGAUAGUACAUUGAUCUGGUGGUGGCCACAGAACAUUUCCUUCGCUUUUGUUUUUUUUUUCCUCACCAAUUUUAAUACAGAUUUAGUACCCUUAGGACAUCUUCCCUAAUUAUAUUAGCUAGAGAUUGUAAUUCCAUCAAUAUGAUAAAAUUUAUGUACUAAUGAUUUUUGCUCCCUUUUUGAAUACAUACAUAGUACUUAUUUUGCAUGUGUUCUACUAUAGUUUUCAAAAGAAUAAAAUGAGCCGCCACAUGACGCGCAUGGCCACCCAGUUGCAUGCACCGUCUUACUUGCCUCUCUAGUGGCAGAAAUGGCUGUCACGGAUGAAUUAAUUAAUCAUAAAUCUAUUAGUAUAUAUAUAAGUUAAAACCUAUAGUGACUAAUGAGUUCACACAGUCACACUAUAUAUAUAGUAUGCACCCAUACAUGAUUUAAUAAUGGCGUCAAAUAUAAAUAGGUGAAUACACAAGCGAGGUAGGAACACAGUGAUAUAUAGUUGGACCAGGGAUGCAAGAGGAGUGAAGGACACUAGUGGUAUUCCUUAAUUCUAGUGCAGAGCUCAUGUUUAACUGCGAACUUAGUCGGCGAUAAUUACUUGAUUAGGUAUAUGAUUCUGUAAAGAUUUGCAAUAUAUAGUGUGCAUGGUUUACGGGUUCUAUAAAAAUGGAAUGCUUUUUAACUCCAUCAUCAUCAUCAUCAUGACAAAAAUAAAAAAAUAAAAAAUAAAUCCAUAUUUAUGUAAUUCUUAUAACUUCAAUACUCUCAGAGUCUCAGUCAAACUAUACAAUAUAAUUAAAAAGUAUUUUAAUUUAAACGACCAAGUUGUUCGUUCAUUUGAUUAUUUCAGGAUUUAUUUGACCAAAAUAUUUGCCGACAAAUUUUUAAAUUGCAAAAGAAAAUAUUAAUAUAGUCACCUGUUGGAAAAUGAACUUUUAAAUUCUUAACUGUUUAAACUUUAAAAGCAACAUUUUUAAUAUCCAACUAUCUUUCGCACACAUUUAAUCUUGAAGUCAUUCCUAUUUCCUGACAACACAAACUCGAACAUUAAAAUGUCAAACGAUAACAGAGAUAUGAAUUACAAUUAAAAAGAAUCAGUUUGGCUUUCAAAAAACCAAGAAAUCCCUAAAAUUAACUCUGUAAGUUAAUGGAUAGACAAUUUUUGGUGAGAAAAAGAAAGUUUGGUGAAAAUCUAAAACUUUUGAUACUGAAAAUAGAGAACAUGAUUCCUUUCUUCAAGAACAAUAUUAUAAAGUUGCUUCCAGCUUCCACCAAGAAUUUUGAAGAAGGUUCUCACCUUCCUUUCACCGAAAUAGCCUUGAUCGAUUUUCAUUCAUCGGGAAUUGCUUACUCUCUUUCGAAAUUGUUCAGAUAGUAUCAAUUUUAAAGAUUUAUGGGUUUUUGAAAGCCAAACCAAUCCAUUUUCUAAUUGUAAUUCAUGACUCCAUUAAUGUUUGACUUUUCUUAAGUCCGGUUUUGCGAAGUUAACAUUAUAUCUGCACAAAGAAUAGUUGGAUAUUAAUGGAAAGUCUGGCCCAAAGUAGGCCCAUUAUAGAAGAUAUGGGUCAUGAAACGCAGCGUAUGAGAACGGCGACGUGCGUCUUGGUAGUUUUGACUGACGCUCCGAAGCUGAUUGCGAAACGUUCGCGACGGUGACGAAAAUCCCAGUGAGUGAGUGAGUUCUAUAAUGCUCGCUGCGUUUACAGCUGAAACUUAGAGUUAGAGAUAGAUAGACAGAUAACAACUUGUCUGUUCUGAGCAUUUCUUUUGUCAUAAUGAUCAGAUCUUCAUUGGUCUUGAGUUUUCUUAUGUUUCUUUUGAAUCACUUAUGUCGAGCUUUUAUGUUUCUGAAGAAUGUUGCUGCAAUUUGUAUUCUUUUUGCCGUCUGCAUUUGUGAUCUAUAUAUCGAUUUUUAGCUUACAAUGUGUUCGUUGAAAUGCCUCAGUGGGCUAAUAGUCUUAUUCACUAGUGUAAUGGGAGUCCUUGUUUUUGUAUUCAUAUGGGUCCAAGAUUAAAAGGUCGUGGAUUAGAUCCUAGCCUCGGCUCCUUUUGAUGCUUAAAUCACUACAUUGUUGAUUUAGUCCUCUCCAAUUCAAUGUAUACAAUAGUAUUUUGUUGUUGUUUUGCUAUGUGUGAGCUUCUGAUAUAGCUUAACCUUGCAAAGUUGUUAUCUUUUAUACUUUGUUGGAGUGUGGUUAUGAUCAUGGUGUGUUCAAUGAAAAAUAGGAGCUUUAGUUCGUAACAAUUAAUGUUUUAUAUUUACUAAAGCUUUUUUUUUUCAUUUUUUUCUACUGGGAAAGCAGCUACAGAGACAUGUCAAGGUUUCGAUCAUUGUUGCAAGCCUCAGUAAAUGCAACGAAAAGGGGUAUUCACUUUCCACCUUUCCGUCAAUUAAAAUAUUCGUGAUCUACUGAUUUCCUGCUUGUGUGUCGAUGUUCUUGCUUUUGUUCAACUGUGUUUGUGCCUUUAUUUAGACGGUGAAUGAUAGCAAGUAAUGUUUGAGAAGCUGAAUGGCGCUGUUUUUAUGUUCCAAGAUUUAUCAACAUUUUGUGAUUACCAUUAUAUCUUUCUACUAGCUUUAAUGCUUUUGAAUGCUAGUUUCUGACUUAUCUUCACCACUUUUCAAACUGUUAGCUUUUACGUGGAACAUUGAAGAAUGGAUACCACCUCCAGAGAAGUAUAUAUUUAAGUUUCAUUCGAAAGAAGACUUGAAGAAAUGGCAUCUCUAUUCUGAUUCUGAAUAUGGAGGUACUUUAUAAAGAGUGUCUGAUAUUGUUUUCUGUUGUUGUUUCCCUUGCAUUUCCAUGCGUUGUUGAUUUAUAUGGACAACUAACUACUGAGACAAAAUAAGAUUCAUAAAGAUUUAGAAUUAAAUGAUAUCGUAAAGAAUUCGUUAUGCAUUUUAUAAUUUAUUUGGUGGCAACAUGUUUGAUGAUUAUUUUCACAGGAUUAUCUUCGGCUUCCUUGGAGAUCCCAGAUGGAGGAAAAGAAUCAGAUGGAACUGGUUAGCAACUUCGUAACUCUUUUUUUUUUUUGUGGACAUGAUUUUCGUUAACAAACAUAUGAGACGUUUCUAUGUUACGGUAGCGUUGUUUAUGUCUUUAUUAUGUUUCUUACACUGCUCACUUGGUGAUAUUUUUCUCCCUUAUAUCUUAUAUAGGAAUUUUCUCGGGAAACCUUUCCGUAGACCUUAGUGAGGGAUCAAAGUGGAACAUCAGUCGGAGUGGCUUCUGUGGAAUGCGCUCAAAGAAGGUUAACAACGAACAGCUUUUAUUUUACUUACAAUGCAAAUCUUAAGCAAACUAUAACUCUUACAUUCAACUAUUGUUUGAAGACAAGAUUGAAUUGUCAUCUUGGUUUGUAACCCGAAGACUUUGCGAGUUAACUGAUCAUACUAUUUCAACUAACUAACUUCCUUUUUUUUGUUUUGCAGUUUGAUGGCUUCAUUGAUCUGGACGGGUAUGAUGCAAUAGCCAUGAGGCUUAGAGGAGAUGGAAGGUGUUAUAUAUCUACCGUAAGUUUUCAUGCUCAUAUUCACCUUUCCUAUUACUCCAGAUGAAACAACAAAUGUUGUAGGAGGGAAAAGGGUUGUUAUACUAAACCUUGAUUUUGAUUCAGAUCUAUACCGAAAACUGGGUGAAUUCACCAGGACAAACAGAAGAUAACUCGUGGCAAGCUUUCGUCUUUGCUCCAAAGGACAGGUGGUAUACUGCCAAGGCAAGUACUCACUUCUACAAAUGUUACCGAUAAGGAGUUUUAGUGCAUUGUACAUAUCCUGUUUUCUGAACUCCCAAAAAGACAGAUAGAGAUUAUGAGUUCACUUGAAUGUUUCGCUUCUAGUCUAAGGCCAUUAGUAACUGGAGUUUUGAUUAUAUAUCAGAUCCCUCUGGCUAGAUACUUGCCAACAUGGAGAGGAAAUGUAAUCGAUGUGGAAAUGGAGAUGAAUCCAGGUCGUGUUCUGGGUAUGUCACUGUCGGUUAACGCAGAAGGUGGUGCGGUUGGAGCCAAGUCAGGAGCAGGUGAUUUCAGAGUUGAAAUUGACUGGAUCAAAGCCUUGAGAAUGCCAUGAACGGGUGAAGCGUUAUGGCAAUGUAUGAUGUCUUUGUUGCUUAUUCUUUGUUUUAGCUUGUAAAAAACAGGCCUGAGUUGAUACUUUGGUG
Molecule: long non-coding RNA, 60285 nt
Filed under: Brassica napus (rape)
Lineage: Eukaryota; Viridiplantae; Streptophyta; Magnoliopsida; Brassicales; Brassicaceae
Description: long non-coding RNA (BNAP_LNC004975)
Source: RNAcentral